RNAcentral lists this long non-coding RNA (77842 nucleotides) under Gossypium barbadense (sea-island cotton). RNAcentral describes it as "long non-coding RNA (GBAR_LNC008639)". The record is from RNAcentral. Lineage: Eukaryota; Viridiplantae; Streptophyta; Magnoliopsida; Malvales; Malvaceae.
UAUUAUUCAAGCCAAGGGGCAAUAAGCAAUAAGCAUCCCCACAACUUCAAAAAGUUUUUCUUUCUUUCUUUUCCUAUCUCUAUUUGAAAUCUGUUUCAGGGGAAAGAAGAAGGAAAAUUUUAUGAUUUUUUGAGGGCUUGUUAAUAAUAAAUAGAAAACAAUGGCGAACAAUGUUGCUGUUAUUGGUAUCUUUUCGGUGUUAUUGGUGACAGCAGUGGUGGGUGUUACGCAUUUAAAAAAUAAUGGUGAUUCGAAAAGCGGUGAAAUAUCAAGUUCGACGAAAGCGGUGCAAACAACAAGGAGCUGAUAAGAAUGAGUUUCCAAGCAGCGAUAGAGGAAAUAAGGAAAGUGUUGGCGAAUUCAGCGACGAUACAAGACUUGAAUAAAGAUGACAACAACAAAGCAGCCCUUAAGGUUUGUAAAGAAGUGUUGGAUUUAUCAAUAGCUGAUCUGCAACUUUCAUUUGAUAAGCUGGGGGAUACGAGAUGAGUAAGAUCGGUGACUACAUACUGAACCUGAGGGUGUGGUUAAGCGGUGCCUUAACUACCCUACAAACAUGUGUAGACUCAUAUGCGGAGGUAAAUAAUGAACAAGCGGAGAAGAUGAAUUCAAUUUUGAAGACUUCAAUAGAGCUUACCCAAAAUUCUUUAACGAUGGUGACUAAGUUAUCCACCAUCUUGAAUGGCCUUAACAUUCCAGGCCUCAAUAUUGGCACGACUGGGUUUGAACGUAAGCUCCUGUCUAACGAUGGACCUGAGUGGAUGGGCCACGCUGAGAGGAGACUACUUCAAGCAAAACCAACAGAUUUGAAGCCUAAUGUAACAACCCAAAAUUCGUGGGCACCAGAAAAGUGUGUUAUCGGGUCUCCGUCUUAGUGAAAUAAGUUCGAAAAUAAUUAUUAAAAAUAUUUAUGAGUCUAGUAGUGUAUUUAAUUGGGUUUUAAUUAAGUAAAUUUAGCUUAAUUUAGAGUAAUUAGUAAAAAGGAUUAAAUUGAAUAAGGGUAAAAGUUUAAUUAUAGAUUAAAGAAAAAUUAGAAGGACUUAAGAGGAAAUUAAACUAUUUCCUAUAGCUGAGGCGGUUUAACGUGGAAAAUAUCAAAAAUUUUAUUGAUUUAAAAAAAAUAUAUAUAUUUAAUAAUUAAGUAUAUUAUAUUAUAUUAUAUUAUAUUAUAUUAUAUUAUAUUAUUAUUAUAUAUAAAAGAAACAAAUAAGUUAAAAGAAACAGAAUGAAAGCAAACGAAACAGAGAAGAACAGGGGAGAAAGAAAGGAAAGAAGAAAGAAAAGGGGAAAUAAGGUUUAUGAAGCUUGGAGUUAAUUGGUAAGCUCAACCAAGUCCUUUUCUCAUAAUUUUGAUAUUUUAGAAGUCUUAAAACAAGUUUUUGAUGAAAUUAAGUUGUUAGUUUGGAAGUUCUUAGGUUUUUAAACAAAGUUCAUGUUGAAUAAAAUGAUGAAAUAGGUGUUUAAUUGAAUGAAAUUCAAGUUAGAAUAGAUAUAAGGAUUGAAUUGCAAAGUAAGCUAUAAGUUUUGUGUUUUAGGGACUAAAUUGAGGAAAAUUCGGAAUUAAGAAAAUAUUUUGAAAAUUUAAUAGUUAAAUUUGAGUUUAAAUGAAAUUUGAAUAGGAAUAAGGUGUGAAUUGGUGUUAUAAAUUUGGUUAUUAACAUUUUACAUCAAAACAGUUUUGGGAAGUAGCAAUGGUCUGACUUUGAAAAUUCACUAAAAAUUUUAUAAAUUGAACUAGAGAAUGAACAAAAUAUGGAAUUAAAUCUUAUUGAGUCUAUUUUCUUUAGUAGAAACAGUGUAAGCAAUUAAUUGAUGAAUCAAGAGAUAUUUGAAAUUUUGUAAUACUGGUUCGGGGUGAUUUCGAGAUGCCCUGUUUUAACUUUGGAAAAUCAUUAAAAAUUGUACAAAAAUUAUUAUGGAGUGUAAUUUAUAUAUGUGAACUCCUUAAUGAAUCUAGUUUCAAAAUAAAUAAACAAGAACCUUAUUCGAGUUCUGUACAAUGAGAUAAUUUAUUUUUAGUAGAGAGAGGUCAGAACUGUCAAAUGAAAUAACAGGGGAGUAUUUAAUGAAUAAACUGUACUAAAUGGCUAGACCAAAAAUUCUGAAAAUUUUAUGGUUAGAAGAUAUAUGAGUCUAGUUUUAAGGAAAAUUUACGGAUAUUAAUUUGGAGUUUCGUAGCUCAAGAUAUAAAUAAUUUAGUAACAAUGACUCAAGUAGACAGCUUAAUGGUGAAAUUAUAUAUAUACAUUAAAAAUGGUUAAAUUUGCAUGUUUAGGCUCAUGAAUUAAAUUGAAUCAUGUUGUAUUAAUGAUUAUAAAUUAUUAUUUUUGUAGCCAACAAAGAACCUGAAGCAUCAGCAUCGAAAGGAAAGGAGAAAGUCAUCGAGGACUAAAACGGGAGAAUUAUGGUGUGUAUUACUAUAAUUCGAAUUUUAAUUAUUAUUGAUUGCUGAAUUUUUUUUAUUGUUAUGUAUGGUAAGUAAGACUUGAGGUAAGUAUGUGAAAUUGAUAUGAAUAUUGAGUGAAAAUGAAAGUGAUGCAAAUUGAAUCAAAUUGAAUUGAAUAAGUGAAUUAUGGAAUAUGUAAUUAUUUGAGAAGCGUAUUGAUUGAAAAAUGUUUGGCGAUUUGAAUUGUGAAUUGAAAGUGAUAUAGGAUUGAGAAAGUGAAUUGAAUACCCUAUUAACUAGUCGGGCUAAGUCGGAUAUAGUUGGCAAGCCAUAGGAUUGGAAGUGUUCAGGGAUACUUCGACCUCGAGUCGAUGAGACACUGGGUGUCACUAUAUUUCUUCGGAUAGAUUCGAUGAGGUACCGGGUACCAACUUUACUUCGGCUAGGCCGAUGAGACACUGGGUGUCAACUAUUACUUCGAACUAUCCGAUGAGGCACUGGGUGCCAUAUUGGUGUGUUUGGUUGGAUCCGUGUAUCCGCCAAAGUCCGAGUUACGUUAAUAGGGUGAAAAAUUGAAAUGUGAAUUUGAGGCAUUGAAACGAGAAAAAUAAAUUGAAUUACGAAUUGAAAUUGGAAUUGUGAUAAUAAGAGAAAAGUAUGAAAUGUAUAUUCAUAAGUGAUAUAAAUUUAAGUUUGAGAAAAUACAUUGAUUUAUGAAUUAGUACAUAUGACAUUAAUUGUUAGGUAUUUUGAUAUUUAUGUUUUUACUAUUGUUGAUAUAAUUUGAAUUAUGGUAAUAUCACUGAGUAUAUCCAUACUCAGCGUACGGUUGUUUCCGUGCGCAGAUUAGUAGAAGUCAAGUGUCCCAGUUCAGCAUCCAGAACAUUCCCGACUCCAACACAAAUUUGGUGAUGUAUAUUUUUCUUUUGGGUAAAGGUGGCAUGUACAUAUGUGUUAUAUAGUCACUUGAAUAUGCAUAUUACUUUGGGUAGUGAAGGUUGAAUUAUAAGAUUUAGAUGGUUAAAUGAAAUGGUAAGAAAAGUAUAUGAUAGUUAUUAAGUUGAAAUUAUGUUAAUGAUAUAAAUAUUAGUUAUAUGAAUGUGAAAAAUUGGUGCUGGUUGUUUUAGUUUGAAUUUGCAGGAGGUUUUAGGUAAAAAUAAGCAGAAAUGCUGCCGAAAUUUUUAUAAAAAAAAAGAAAUAAAAAAAAAUUUAAAAUAUUCGAACAAGUCCCGUUCUACUUUUAAUACGUGCUUGAACUUUGAGAGUUCAAGAUAGGGACUCAAUUAUUAUAUUAUACUAUGAAAAUUUUUAAUAAUUGUAAAUUAUUAGUAAGUUGUCUGAUAUGUCCGGUAAUGCCUCAUAACCUCGUUUCGGUAACAGUUUGGGGUUAGGAGGUGUUACACCUAACGUUGUGGUUGCUAAGGAUGGUAGUGGAAAAUAUGAUACCAUCACCAAGGCCUUGGCUGAAGUCCCUCCAAAAAGCCCUAAUCGAUUUAUUAUUCACAUUAAGGCUGGUACUUACAAGGAACAAGUCCUUUUACCCAAGGAGAUGACUAAUGUUAUGUUAAUCGGUGAUGGCCCAACUAAGACCAUCAUCACCAAUGACCUUAACUGCAUUAGGGAUCAUCCGCUUAAAACAUUCGGCACUGCAACAGUUGGUAAGUAGUAUUAUAUACAUAUAAGUUUUGGUGGUGAGGUGAGGUGAUUAACUAGUAUGAAUGUUUGUGAAAUAUUGUAGGUGUGGACGGGGCUGGUUUCAUGGCCAGGGACAUUGGAUUCGAGAAUACAGCAGGACCCCCUGGUCAUCAAGCAGUAGCUUUUAGGGCAACAUGUGAUAUGGUUAUCAUGUUCAAUUGUCAUUUUAAUGGGUACCAAGACACCCUUUAUGCUCACAAACAAAAACAAUUUUAUAGGGAUUGUCUCAUCAGCGGGACGGUGGACUUCAUCUUCGGGGAUGCUGCGAGCAUAUUCCAAAAUUGUCUGAUCAUCGCGAGGAAGCCAGGUGAAAACCAGAACAACAUGAUUACAGCCCACGGAAGGAAAUUUCCAUACACUCACUCAGCCAUUGUGCUUCAAAAUUGUACCAUCUCGGGCGCCCCUGACUACCUUCCGGUGAAGGACAAGAGCAAGACGUACCUUGGUCGUCCCUGGAAAGCUUUGGCGAGGACCAUCAUAAUGCAAAGCAAUAUUGAUGACAUUAUUACACCAGAGGGUUUGUAACACCCCGUACCCGAGACCAUUGCCGGAGUCGGACACGAGGGGUUCACAGACUAAAUUCGCUUACUAUCGCAGUCCAUUUUAAAUUUUUCCAGACAGCUGGCUAACUGUGUCGCUGUCACCUUAAAAAUCAUAUCUUGAGUUUCACAACUCGAAAAUCAGUUUCGUGAUUUUUCCCUGAAACUAGACUCCUAUAUCCAUCUACAUAUUCUUUUCUAGAAUUUUUGGUCGGGCCAAUUAGUACAGUUUAUUAGUUAAAGUCUCCCCUGUUACAGGGUGCGACUACACUGACCUUCAUGCAUUACAAUUCAGAUAUCUCCCUGACAGGGCUUCAAUACUGAUGCCGUUUGUUUCUAUAGAAACUAGACUCAGAGAGGAAUCUAUACAUAUAUGGCAUGACUCCUAAUUAUCUCUGGUUAAUUUAUAAUGAAUUUCCAAAGUCGGAACAGGGAAUCCAGAAACCGUUCUCGCCCUGUCUCACAAAAACCUAAUUAUCUCUUAACAUACCACUCAUUUGACCGUUUCGUUUCUUCCAUAUGAAAGUGGAUUCAUCAAGGUUCAUUUAAAUAAUUGAUUCACUAUUUAAUUCUAUUCCUACUAUUUUUAGUGAUUUUCCAAAUCUACAUCACUGCUGCUGUCAGCAUCUGCCUUUAAGGUAGACUUUACCUAUUUCAUAGUUUCCAUGAUUCAACUAGCCCUUUUAGCAUAAAUAGCACAAAUUAUGAUAGUGAUUAACCAUUCCCAUGGCCAAUCCUUGUUAAGCAUAUCCACACCUCUCAAUAACCAUAUCCAUACCAAAUGAUUAUAACAUUAUGCUCAAACAUAUAUAAGCCAUUUUCGCAUGGCUAUCCAAAAUUAUACAAAUCCAAAGGGUCCAUGACCCACUACAAAAAGGGUAGUCCUAUACAUGCCAUUUUCAGAGUUCAACCAAAAGUGUACCAAAAGGGCUUUGAUAGUGUGGGCGACUUCGACUUCAAUAAUCCCGAGUCCGAUAGCUGACGAACCAAAAUCUAUAAAACAGAGAUUCAAAGAACGGAGUAAGCAUUUAAUGCUUAGUAAGUUUUAAGCAAGACAAAGUGUUCUCAAUCACUAUUAUUGGUCAUUCAUUUCAACUGUUCGAUGAAGUUAAUCUAGAGCUUCAUCUCGAUCUAUAAUAUCAUUAAACGCAACACUUGGCUGCCACAUAUAUACUUUCGAAUAAUAAUGACCUAGAUGGUCAAAUAUUUCUAAAGCACAUUCUCACAUUUGGAGUUAUAAUAUUAAUCACAUUUACCUACCUCUUUGAUACUGAUAAUUCACCUCGAAAUCACUCCACCGAUGAGUAAGUAAUACGUACCUGAACAUCUUGAAUACAUAAUACUUAUUUGAUGGUAACUUAAUGCAGAUACUCAAUAUCAAAGUCUUACUUGAAUCCUAGCAUUUAGCCGUCGGGUCUUUAAAGCUCGGAUAUAGUACGAGCACGAAGCCUACGGACAUUAAUCAGGAUAAUAUUCUCGCAUAAAGCCUGCGGGGUUUUAACCCGGAUAUAGUACUGACACAAUUGCCCUUCGGGACUUAUCACAUUUAUACACUUCCACAUCCAUCACAUUGGCCAUUCGGCCUUAUCACAUAUAUACACUUUCACAUUCAUCACAUUGGCCAUUCGGCCUUAUCUCAUAUAUGCAUGUUCACAUUCAUCACAUUGGCCAUUCGGCCUUAUCACACAUACACAUGUUCACAUUCAUCACAUUGGCCAUUCGGCCUUAUCACACAUACACAUGUUCACAUUCAUCACAUUGGCCAUUCGGCCUUAUCACACAUACACAUGUUCACAUUCAUCACAUUGACCAUUCGGCCUUAUCACGCAUAUAUACUUUCACAUUCAUCACAUUGGCCACUCGGCCCUAUCACAUAUAUAUACUUGUACAUCAAUUUCAUCAUAACAAAAUUGACUAGGUAUACUAGUCAUUUGUGGCUUAUAGCUUCACUUUAAUACGAAUUUGGUACUUUGAUUACCAAUGUUUAAUCGAUAGCUUAUAAGCAACUCAAAUGGUUUUAUUAAGGUUUACAACAAAAUUCCAAAUUCAGCACAAGCUGUUUUUUUUCUGAGCAACAGUCAUUAAAUUAUUCGUAAAUGGAGCUACGAAACUCCAAAUGGAGUGCCGUUAAUUUUCCCUGGAAAUAGACUCAUACAUAUCUUAUCCAGAAAAUUUUCAGAAUUUUUAGUUUGGCCAAUCAAUACCAGAUUUUUCUUAAAGUUUCCCCUGUUUCACUAUUUGACUAAUCUGACCACUCUUCACUACGAAUCAAAUUUCUCAUUGUACGGAAUUAAAAAUGUGUUCUAUUUGAUUUCAUUUGAAACUAGACUCAUUAAGGAGUCUAGGCAUAUAAAUUUUAUCUUAUAACCAUUUUUUUACAAAUUAUAAUGAUUUUUCUAAAAAUAGAACAGGGGAUUUCGGAGUCAUUCUGACACUGUCCCACACAACUUUAAAUAUCUGUUUAUAGGAAAUUUCUUUGCUUCCACGGUCUCUUUUAUAAGAAACUAGACUAAAUAAGCUUUGAUUACAUAUUUUAUUCAGCCUAUAAUUCUACACCAACAAUUUAUAGUGAUUUUCUAAAAUCACGUUACUGCUGCUGUCCAAAGCAAAUUAUUACAAUUUGCUCUUAAAUUUCCAAGUCCAAACACUUAUGAACUUACCAUUUGAGUUUAAGACAUAUUAUGGCCACAUCAUAUCUUAUUAAAUCAACUCAUUAUGUCCUAUUAUGACUGAAUUUACUCAACGUUUAAUCACUUAAAACUUACCUCGGAUGUGGUCGAACGAUUUCGGCGGCUAUUCGAUCACUUUUUUCCUUCCCUUUAUCGGAUUUAGUUCCCCUUUGCUCUUGAGCUUAAUUUAACAAAUAAAUUGAUUUAAUCAUUUGAACAUCGAAAAGAGAAAAUCAAGGUACUUAACCCAUAUAUAUAUACAUUAGACAUUAAAGUCACAUACAUAUGAAAUCAUGAAUCAACUCAACAUAUUAACCCACACUCUCUUUUAGCCGAUUGUCUAAGCCAAGAUUAAGCCACCAAUAUGCUUACUUAUGGCCGAACAUACACAUCAACUUAUGUACUCAUUCAUGUGGCCGAACAUACAUGUCUAUGUUGAGGCCGAUUGCAACACUUAAUACAUUCUACAAGUAUGGUCACUUGUAUUGACUAAACACCAUUUUGUUUCAAGUUCAAAACUUGGCCAAAACACAUAUAUACACUAGUAAAGCAUCCUCUCCCUUUCCAUCAAUUCAACACAUGCAUUACUCAUUAAUAUACAAAAUUAUAUUCGGCCUUAGCACACAACUUGCUAGCCGAUUCUUCUCCAUCUAGCAACUAAUGCACAUAUGUGCUCAUUUGUUAGACUCUACUUCAUCUAACAACAACCAUAUUUUCCCUUCUACUUCCUACCAUGGCCGGAUGCUCAAGAUACCUCAAUAUCGAAACUUUUAGCUUGGAUUGCUUAAAGAACUUGGUGAUGAGUUCAAAUUUACCUAACACCUCAAGCCUCAUAACACAUCUAUAUAGCUAACAUGCUAAUAGUCUCAAGGCUUCAACUAAAACUUUUGAAGCCUCUUAGUCGAAUACUAACUCUCUAAUAAUCCCAAAUCCAUCCAUGAGAUAGUUAGAAUUUAGACUAAUCAUCCAAGGGAUGUAUGAACUUUCAAAGUAACACUAAACAUACCUUAAUCUAGUGAGCCUUCAUAGCCGAUUUUUCUCCAAGCUCAUUCCCUUCCUUUCUUUCUUCUAUUCGGCCAAAGAUGUUCAAGGAUGAACACUUUUUUUUUCUUUGUUUCCUUUCUUCCAUUCACGGCAAAGGGGGGGCAUGGAUGAGACCAUUUUUUUUCAUCACUCCACCUUUUUGCAUUACUUUAAUCCUAACCCAUUUUUUUUAUUCUUUCUAACAUAACUCACUAACACAACAUGUUUGCAACAUGUUUCCACCCAUAGCAUGGCCGGCCACUAUGUUUUAAUUUUGGGUAAUUUGAAAUGCAAACCCAUCAUUUCACAACAUGCAUUAUUAGGCCACUUUACAUUUGCCUAGCACAUUUCCAAAUUUUCUCACAUAAGUCCUAUUUGAUAAAAUUCACUUACUAUUAACAAAAUUCAAACAUGAAAUUUUCACACAUGCAUAUGUACAUAUAAUGAGCAUCAACUAUGACGGUUAAUUAUCUUUAUGACUCGGUUUAGUGGUCCCGAAACCACUUUCCGACUAGGGUCACUUUAGGGGUGUCACAGGGUUACUCCCCCAUGCAAGGCACCGUAGGAAUAGACACUGGUUACUUUGUAGAGUUCCAAAAUAGGGGACCCGGUUCCAAAACUGAAGGCAGGGUCAAAUGGCCAUCUAUCAAGACAAUCGAUAUAAAUGAAGCCAAGAAAUGGACUCCUGGCGUCUUUCUUGAAACUGAAACUGACAAAUGGAUUUCGCAAACUGGCACUCCUUGUUAUCCUGACAUGGUCCCUGGAGUGUGAACUCCCAAAACCAUCGCCAUUAGUAUUCUUUUAUUAUCAUUAUUAGUAAUCAUGUUGUCGAUUAUUGAUUAAGUUAAAAGAUAUUUUAACCUUAAGUAUUUGUUAUUUUAACUUAUUGGUAAUGAUUAUGUUUAAACUUUUAUUCAAGUUAUAAUUCUAUUAUAAAGUUAAUAAAUAAAGUUAUAGUAACCUCCCCAACUUGGCCUAAACAUUAGAUCUGAAUUCAGAAGAUUAUAUUAGCCACCGAAAUGACCUUGUAAGUUAUCAGAAUUUUUGAAAACGGUCAUUUUAAAACAUUUGAUUAUUUUAGAAGAAAACCUAGAUAAUUACCGAUUUAUUUACUAUUCAAAAUUCUUAUUUAUAAUUUAGCAGCAUAAAAGUAAUAAUAGUUUGUAUUUUUAAUAAAAACCAAUGUUCAUGCAUAAUUAAUUAAUAUUCAUAUUUAAAAAUCCUAAAAUCAAAUUAAAUGUCAUGCAGGCUGUAAAAUAAAAACCAAAUCCUAAGUUCUAUAUAACAUGUAACAACCCGUUUUCAAUGAAAUCGAAAUAGUGGUUUCGGGACCAUAAAUCCAAGUCAGAAAGAAAAUUUAUUUUAAUAUUAUUGCAUGGUCUACAUUAUGAUAGGAAAGACGUAUGAAAAUUUUGAUAAGAAAAUUUUAUCGAUUUUAUGUAUAAUUAGGAGGAAAGGACCAAAUUGCAUAAAGUGCAAAAGUUGAAUUCUAGUAGCUAAAAGGAUUAAAUAGUUAUGGAAUUCAAAACUUGGGGUCCUUAUAUAAUAAUUAUACCAUUAAGAGAAGUUAUUAGAUAUUUAUGAUAAAUCAUCCAUGGAAAUUUAAGAAAAGAAAAGGAUUAAAUUGGAAAGUUAAAAAAUUAAAAGAUGAUAAGUUAAUUAAAAGAAUAAAAUAAGUUUAUUUCAUCAUCUUCUCCAAAUUUUCUAUGGAAACCCUAGCUUAGAAAAAGAGAUUCAAGCAAGCUUAAUUAGGUAAGUAAUCAUGUCCCGGUUUUAGUAAUUUUUACAUUUCUGAGAUCGUAAUAACCUAAUCUAUUUAUUUGGGGAUCAAUUUGCAAAGUUAUAAAAGUAUUUAAAAUUUUCCAUGGAUUAUUAUGCUGAAAUUUUGAAAUUUAAGGUAGAAAAUGAAAGGUUGUUGAUAGAUAAAUGAUAAACUGUAAUUUAUACAUAUUUUUACCCCAUGCUUAACGCAUUUUAUGGAUGAUUUUUCCUUAGAAUUAGUGAAUUCGAUGCUCCUAAUGCCUUAAUUUCAUGUUUUAUACUUAGGUGAGCAUAGGAGAGCGAAAGGAACGAGAAACGAGCCAAAAAUGGAGAAAAUGGGCCAAAGUACGAAAUCAACACGGCCUGGACUUCCUCACACAGACAGCCCACGCGGCCGUGUCAAUUUGGCAGAAUCGAAGCACGACUCACAUGGGUAGAACACACGCCCGUGCCAAUCUAACAGGCUCGACACGGCCUGAAGUAAUCGCACACGGGCAUGUCAUAUAGGCGUGUCCCUGCCGAGCCCAAGUUUAGUCCAAUUCGGAAAAUGCCAAUUUUGAGGGUUUUUAGGCAUUCCAAAGCUUAUAAAUACAACCUGGAGGAGGAAGAAAAAGGGGAGGCACAGAGAGGAAGGAAUGAAUUACUUGAAGGAAGCCGAUUGAUCCAUCUCAGAAGCCGAAUUCAUCGUCAAGACUGAAGAUCUCCCUUCAAUUUCCCUUCAGGGUUUUGGGAUUUCUUUAUGUUUUGUAUUCAUUAUUCUUCUGAGAUGUUUUCCUUUUUAGUUAUGAACUAAAUCCCCUAAAUACCUAAGGGGGAUGAAACCUAAGACGAAUCUUGUUAUUAUUUUCUGAAUUGUAUGAUAAAUAUUUAACUUGUUCUUAAUUAUGUGUUCUUAAUUCUUGUUUUGAUAUCCUAGGAUACUGAUUCAAGAUAAGCUCUUAUUCAGAGGAGGAAUAGACCCUGUCUAAGAGUACAUUUGUCAUAAUUAAGCGGAGUUGCUUGCGCGCCUAGAUAUAGGGUGACAAGAUUUUGUCGGAUUAGGGUGAAACCUAAUAAGGGGAUCCAUAGAUCGAGUUAAUGCAACCCUAAGAUGUUAAUUAGAGAAAAGUUUUAAUUAUUCAAUCUAGGGAUUAGACGUUAUUAGUCUUGAAUAGGAAUAAUAACAUAACUUAAGGAUCUCUACGAAACAAGUUAAAUGAAUAAAUCGUCCGAUUCAGAGUCAGAAUAACAAGUGAAGUUUAGGUGGAUUUUUCCUUAGGUAUUGUCUUAAUUCAAUCGUUUUUCCAAUAGUAAUUCCCCAAUUCUAUUUUCUGUGAAUUCUUAAUUUAGAUAAUUAGUUAGUUAAAACAAACCCCCUUAUUUUUAGGCUAGAUAAUAAAAAGACAGUCAUUACUAGUACUUUUAGUUCCUUUGGGUUCGACAAUCCGGUCUUGCUAAAGCUAUACUACUAUUCGAUAAGUACACUUUCCUUCAUCGUGAUAAGAGUUAGUUUCGAGAACGAUUCAUUAUAAAUAUUUAAAACCUGUCGCAAAUAUCGCGUAUCAAUAAACAACUUUUGUAAAGUGAAUUUUGAUGAAAUCGUGAUUUAGGGACUAAAUUGUAAAGAUAUAAAAUUCAAUGAAAUUUUCUAAUUUUUAUGAAAUAUAUCGACUGUUUUUGUUAUAUGAAAAAUUCGACUAGGCUUGGAAUAAGGAUUAAAUUGCAUGAAUUUCAUUUUCCGAGCCUAGGGAUGAAAUUGGAAUUAAUAAAAGUAUAGGUGCAAAAUUGUACUUUUUCCUAAAAUGUGAAUUUGAGUGAAUUGAAUAUGAAUUUCAUUAAAUUGAGUUAAAUUUAUCCGUAUAGAUCUAGAUAGACCUAGUACGAAAUUGGAUCGAGGAAAAUAAAAAGUUUCGGAUUAGCAGAUUCUCAUAUAUGAACAAGUAUCGAGGUAAGUUCAUGUAACUAUCACUAUAGGAAAAUAGGGCUUUAGCGGCGUUUUAUCAAAAAACGCCGAAAAAAUUAUAAAAAACUGAGCAAUAGCGACGUUUUUGCUAAAACGCCGCUAAAGACCAGAGCAUUAGCGGCGCUUUUGGUAAAACGCCGCUAAAGACCAAAGCAUUAGCGACGUUUUUGGUAAAACGCCACUAAAAGUCAUAUAACUCUUAAAAUCCUAAACCCCAAAAAACAUAAAACACCAAUCUAUAACCCUAAAAUAGUAAACCUUUAAACCCUAACAAGCCGUAAACACUAAACUAUAACACCUAAAAUCCUAAACGUCGCAAUAGGUGCAUUUUUAGUGGCGCUAGUUUAAAUUAUAGGUUAAUGUUUGGGGUUUAUGGUCUAGGAUUUAUGAUUUAGGGUUUUGGAUUUAGGGGUUGGGGUUUAGGGGUAAAUAUAGUGAACUACUUAACUUGUGUAUCUUGGAUUUUUUUAUAAUAUAAAUCUAAAUAAGAUAAAUAUAAAUUAUUAUUUUAAAAAUAUAUAUAUCAAAAUGGGUUAAAUCCCAAAAGUAUAAAUUAUGAACACAAUUAUUGAUAUAAUAUCAUUUUAUAUUUAUAUAUUGCAUACAUAAAUAUUUAUAUUUAUUCAAUAUAAAAAUAUAUUGAUGUAUUUAUUUUUUAAAACGUGUAUGAUUAAAUCAAAAUUAAAGUUUUAACUAUACAUUUAAACCACAAUUAAAAUUUUAAGUCUACAAUUACACAUUAAACCGAAAUUCAUAUAUAAUUCUGAAAUGUAUCUCUAUCAAAAUUUAGGUGUAUACAUAUAAUUAAAUAUAAUUUAAAUUAUUUAAGAGAUAAUGAUAAAGUUUAUAUAUAUAAAAACAAAAUAAAAAAUUUUUAACAGAGCAAAAAAGUGAGAAAAUGACUUUUUGUGGCGUUUUUAUUAAAAAUGUCGCAAAAAAAUAAACAAUAGUGGCGUUUUUUAUAAUUUUUUACACAAAACGGUACGGUGUUGUUACCCAAAAUGCAUUAGACUUUUUCGUUCCCCCUUCCCCCCGAGAUCCCAAAAUUUGACAAGAAAUCUUUCUUUCUUCCCUCCUUUCUUUCCCCAAAAUCGGUUCCCUCCCCCCUCCCCAAAGAAAUCCUAAAAUUUCACUUGAAAUUUCUUCUCUUUUCUUUCCCAUUUUAUUUUUCCCAAACCAUUUCUCCCCUACCCCGAUUCCCUUUAUUUUUUCCCCCAAUUUCCCCAAAUUGGUAACUCCAUGAUGUUCUCUCUCUGAUAUGUUUGCUUAUUGGAUGUAUUGCUCGGACUUUAUAUUGUUGUUUGAAAUAUCUUCACUGAAAUUGGUCAAUUGAACCCCUUAUCCAUGCCCGCCGAUCCCAAGCCCUCCUACGCCUUCAGCUCCCUCCGUGAUCGUAGUAGGGACAUUCUCAGCGUCGUCGUCGCUCUCCUCUUCGGCGUCGGCUGUGGCUCUCUCACUGCCGCCGCCAUUUACUUGGUCUAGAUUAUCUUCACGGCCGUUGCGAGUACCAUGAGGAUGAUGAGUCUGACGAAGAAUUUAGCCCUAAAAAAUGGGGUAUGUCAACAUUCCUGCGAAUCCUGCUGUUAACGUUAAGGAAUCCUGCUGUUAACGUUAAAGAUGAUUAAGGUUGAUGGCUGGAAAAGAAAUCAUCUUGUUUAUUACUCAAAAUUGUUGGUAAGGGUGUAUGAUUUAUAGACUUGUAGAUGUAACUAGAGCUCUACCAUCAAUAGAUAGGAAAAGUUACUGGACAAUUAUACAUUAUUGUUUGAUAUAUUUAUUAUUUUACUUAAUAUUUGACUAUCUUUAUAUAUGGACACUAUUUUAGUUGUAUAAGAACUAAGACUUUAUCCUUUAUAUGUAUCAGCAAGCCAUAAAACAUAAAGAUUUAAGUAACCAUAGGAAGUUACUAUGGAAUAGAAGGCUAGGAUGCAAUGCUCUAUAAUUUGAAAUAAUUUCUCUUCAUCUGGCCUCUUAAAUUUUCAUGGAAUCUCUACACCUAGGAUUCUACUCCUCAAUGAUUGUCUUCUAAAGAUCACCAUUAACAGUGAGCAUGUUUAUGUUUCUAAAAGCAAGUUAUUUUGCAUUUGAAGUAUUUGUUUCAAGCUAAUUUAGGGUUGCCAGUGACGUCUUGGUUUAAUGGCAAGGAGGAGGCUAUGGGACUUUGAGAUCCCUAGUUUGAGUCUCACCAUGUGUGGGCUUAGUGUAUUUUGGAGAUGGACAGAUGUAUUUUGGAGAUGGGAGCCAUACAUGCUGGUGACUUCAUGGUGAGUUCCUCUCUUUGCCAUAUGUUUGGGAGCAUUUCCAUGGUUGAAUAUUGAAUUAUUUAUUUUUUCUUACCAUUUAUGGUUGCUGCUGACUUUAUUUUGUUUAAUUAUUAGAGGCGGUUAAGUUGAUUAACUGCUUGAUUGGGAAAGAAUUAGAAAUGUUUGAGUUAUUAUUCGAAUGGUGAACUAAAGAAAAAGAAGCUGAUAGAGCAGUAACUGACAAUUAUGGUUGAGAUUUUGCAAUAAUUGCAUACUUUUUAAAGAUUAUUAUUAUAAUGGUGACUUAUGAAAUGUUGGUAGUGAGAACCAACACCUUUUGGGAAUAUGGAUGUUUAUAAGUAUCUUGCUAUUUAUUUUCUCGAAAUCAUUAGUCAACUUCAUUGAUAGUUCGGGUAUUCCAUGUUCUUGCCAAUUAGGUAGAUCCUUGCAACCAAAUUGUUCAUUCAAUUCGGUUACUUGUCUUUUGCAUGUUUUGGAAAGUUUAAAGACACUGAAAGGAAAAGAAAUAAAAUAAAAUGAUUCUCCUUUACAUUAUUCCAUGACUUCUCACAGAUGUCAUCUUAUUUUCUCCCAUUGUUUAUCUUUACUGCUUUUUUAACUCUUGGAGCUUGAUAAGAUGAAUGUUUUAUUCACUUAAUAUAUACUUGCUAACAAGUUGCAUAAUUUUCGCAGGCAGAGCCCUAUAUCAAUUGCAGCUGCUGUUAUUUAUAUAAUAACAUAGCUUUCGAAUGAUAAGAAGCCACUUAAAGGUUUGAUAUUAUUUCCUUCUUACUUAUUAACUAAAAUUAAGAUGUUUCAUGUACUCCUUUUAGGUGCUGAGGUUUUAUAUCGAAUAACCCAACAUGGUGUCUAAGCAAUGUUUUUGUGUAUUAAAAUUUUAAAAAAAAGAACGGUGACAUCAAAAAAUUUUGAGCUACUGUUAUGUUUCUCUGAAAAAUGAACAAAUGAAUGCGCAGAUAUUUCUGUUGCUACGGGAGUUGCGGAAGGGACAAUCCGAAAUUCAUAAAAGGAUCUUUAUCCCCAUGUGUCCAAGAUAAUACCAAACUGGUAUGCCAAGGAAGAAGAUAUCAAGAACCUAUGCAGUCCUUGAAUUACAGAACAGACAAUAAUGGAGAUACCACAAACAAAACCCUCAAAGUGCUGAGUUCUCUCUCUCGGGAUCUCGUGGAACUCUCGGUACAUUCUGAUAAUGAUGUUCUAUUUUUUUUUUAUGCGUGUUUGAAGUUUUAGCAAAUAUUUUGAGGCUGUAUCAUUGCUGUUUAUCACCUAUAAUUUAUUCCACUAGGAUUCUUUAUAUCUUUCUUACAUUUGGCAGAUUAGUACGCAUAACACCUGGCGUAGGUAGAUUUGUUGCUAGGAGUUACAGUCCAAGGUGAGAAAAAUCUCUCCACAACUAAGGUUCUUUCUACCGUAAAUUAUUGAUAAUUAUUUACUACUGAUUGCUUGCAGACAGUUGGUCAGCGCGUCACCUGGAAUUCCAUUAUUUGAGAUUUUUGUGGUUAAAGAAGAUGAAGAAAUAUAUCUUAUGCAGGUAAAGUAGUAAUGUGCCUUAAUUUAUUAUUAUUUUUUGUUUGGGGCAAGGGGCAUAAAUUGAUUCUAAAUUAUGACAUCUUCAAAAUUUGGUGAAUUCAGAGUAUUUAAUGAUACCAUGAGUCAUGAGUGCAGUUAAAUGCUGUGUGUGGUUUGUUUGCUUUGUGUGGCUUUUUGCUGAUUGAUAUGAGUUGAAAUACUUUGGCACCAUGCCUUAGUGGCAUCAACUAGUACGACCACGUUUGGAGGGAUCUUGAGUCUUAGAUAUGUGGAACCUCUUCGAGAGAGAUUUGGGUUAAUCCACUUUGACUCUGGAAUUCCAUUAGGUUGGUUAAGUAGCUGCUAGGUUAUCGAUCAUAGUUCAUAACUUCCUUUCUGAUCCAAUCAUAGUAUAGAAGGGUCUACAGAUUGAUAAGAUAAACAGAAAAAUGAAGGCCUUGCUAAUUAGAAUCAGUCUUUUUUUUUUGGGUAAAGUAGAAAAUGAACAAAAAGAAAGAAAGAGAGCAUGUUUUCCUUGGCUAGGAAGAUCUUGGUACAACAGUAGCUCAAGGACCUUUCAGUUAUAGUUCAUGGUUAGAUAUACUGUUCAUAAGUGUUUAUCUAAGUACUUAAUUGGGGCUUCCUUUGUGUGUUUUGCUUGUCAUCUUUUUCACGAACACCAUAUCUGAAUUGCUUUUGGAUAAGUGCUUUGCUGCAUGCUGCUUUCUCUGUUUCGCAUCAUGAAACAGUUCUGGGUGUGUUUGUUCAGUAACUGAGCCUUGCUGCAGUAGGAUAAAUUUUUUGGAUUAUAUAAUUUGGUCCAUGGAAUCUUGAAAUUCUGGAUUAAAUAUUUUGGGUGGUAAAUCUGCCUAAACAUGGAUAUUCUUAGACGUGUAAUGUUAUUCCUGUGUAAGUUUGGAACAUGAUAUUUUCAUUUUAUUUAACUGUAAGUUGGUUUCUGGAUGCAUAUACACAUGUUAUGUAUCUAUUUGCAUGUUAGUCUUCGGCAUCUCUUAACCAGUGUGUGAUGUAUAUCUCCUGUAAAGUGAUCUAAAGUCUUCUAAUACAAUCUGUUGCAGGUAGUUUAUUUGCAGCGUGCUAAAGGAAGUUCUAUGAAUAGUACCACCUCACCUUCCAGGCCUACAAAUACCCCAUCCUAUGACCAUGAAAAGCUACUUACCAGAAAAUUUUUGAUUAAUUCAAUCUAUCUAUUGGACGUUUUCAGUAAACCAUUAAGCAUGCUCUAAUGCUCAUACAGACCAAGGCAUGAACCCUGUUAUUGAAUUCUUUCAUUUUCUUCCCUAGGUUGCAUUAUGAGAAGCAAUGCUAUCUGAUAUAUUGUGUUCAAUAUGAACAAUGUAUGUCAAUGUAUUGAAUUUGGUGUAAGGUUUGCCUGAAUAUCUCUACUAUCUCAUUCAUUUGACUUUAUUUAGAACCUCGUAUUGAGUACGUUAAUUCAUACUUUUGAGACUUCUAAUUGAUGGGAAAACUUUAAAAUACAGGUUGCAUGUUACAAAGGUCAGGGAAGAAUAGAAGAAUUUGUUUUCCGUAACCCGCGAUGGGUCGAUGGCGAACUUCUCCAACUUAAUGGCAAGGUAAUAAAAUAUUCAGAACUUUAUGCUAAUAAUAUGAUGUGACUUGCAACUUAAAAUUAUUUUGUUGAGUUUUCAAAACUAUAUGAAUUGAAGGAAAAUCCCUUGUGGAUGGUCAUAUGCAGGGCAUUGGACCCUAUGUCAAAGGAGCUGAUCUAGGUUUCCUUUACAUUGUGCCCGAGCAAAGUUUCCUUGUGCUACACAACCGUUUAAUAUAUAAAUAUAUUUGUAUAAAGUAGUUUAAUUUUUUUACUAAUUUAAAUAUUUUUUUAUUUUUAUAUUUGUAAAAGAACUUAGUUAUAAAAUAAAAAAUUUUAAAUUUAGUUUGGUUCAGAUGAUUAUAGUUUUCUAACUUACAAACAGUGAAUCAAAUUGAAAUCAAUUUAUUUGAAUAAAUUAAAAUUAAAUUGAAAUAAUGAAUUUUAAUUUUUUUUAUAUUUUUCAUGACCUUUAUAAUAUUUUGUAAUAUUUUUUUUUGAAUUUCAUGACUUUUAGCGGCGUUUGUGGGAAAAGCACCGCUAAAGGUCAUGAUCUUUAGCGGCGUUUGUGGAAAAAGCGCCGCUAAAGGUCAUGAUCUUUAGCGGCGUUUGUGGGAAAAGUGCCGCUAAUGGUCAUGAUCUUUAGCGGCGUUUUUUCAAAUAAAUGCCGCAAACUUUAAUGGCGCCGUCUAUAGAGGCGUUUUUUGCGGCGGCGCCGUUAAUAGUUUUAGUGGCGCUUAGAAGCGCCGCUAAAGACCUUAAAAAACGUCGCUAAAAAUCAAUUUUGCUGCAGUGUAUAUUGUGUACAUUUACAUGUCUGAAUUGAAUAUAGUAUAAGUAAAUUGUGAAUUUGUUAUGAAUAUCAAAAUGAUUAUAUAUCCGACAUGUUUGAGAAAUGUUAAGUCCCGUCUGAACAAAUGAAAAUCGAUGGUUGCAAGUUUCUCGAUUGGUUGUGAUGUAGCAUAUGUUGCAGAAACACCAUAGCUUGAAAGACCAUCUCGUUAUAAGCCCUCUUGAGCUUCCCGUUAUAUGGUUCUUGCGAACUUCACGUUAUGGUUCUUCGGAGUGUCUCGAUAGGUUGUGAUCCUACAUGUGUUGUAGAAACACCUUAGCUUUUAUGAGCUUCUUGAUAUGGGCUUUUCGUGAGCUUCUUGUUAAAUUAGCUCUUUAUGAGCUUCCCGAUAGUGCUCGCUUGAACUUCCCAGUAUAUGGUUAUCUGGAGCUUUCCGAUAGGCUCUUCGUGAGCUUCCCGAUUAAAAGUUCUUUGUGAACUUCCUAAGUAUGGUUCUUAUGAGCUUCCUGUUAUAGCCUGGAUAAGCUUCCCGUUACAUGGCUCACAUGAGUUUCUUGUUAUACGGCUCGAGAGAGUGCUUCCUGUUUAGGUGUUCUCAUGAACACUUCUUAAUGUCAAUUGACGGAUUAUAGAUUCGUACACUUCAUGUGUACUAUCGGAUAUCCAUCGAUAUUUCAUAAGGUUCAACGGUCAAAAUUUCGAUAGAAGUUGAGAUAAUGUCUGAAAUAAAUAAUAAUAUUAACUGCUUGAAAUUACAUAGAAUUGUUUACAUGAUGAGCUCAUCUUUGUUAUUUGAAAAUACUUGGAAAUCAUGACUAACUUGCUUGAUGAGUAUAUGUGUUUAAGCAAAUGGCCAAUUUGCUUUGGAUACAUGUUGUUUGUAUGUUUACUUUAAAUGAACCUGAGUGGUAAGUUAAAUUCCCGUUAUGCGAACUUACUAAGCAUUAAAUGCUUACUUGGUUUUCUUUUCUCUGUUUUAUAGUGCUCGGAAGCUCAUAAAGGUUGGAAAUUGGUCGGAGCAUCAUCACACUAUCCUUCAGAUUGUUUUGGUAUAAAUAACAAACUUUUUUUUGAUAUAAUGGCAUGUAUAGACUAAGUUGGCUAUGUAAAUGGUUGUUUGUAUCUAGCUAUUGGAAUGGCUAGUGAUGACAUAUUUGAUGUAUAUGUAAGAGGAUAUAUCAUGUUUAAUAUAUGCAUAUUUAGUAAGGUUGAAUUGAAUUCUGAUAAAUUUACAUGAUUACACAAUUAGGUAAGUUGGAAUACAUGAACAUAUGUGAUGAAAUGUCAUACAUAAUACUUGUAUUUGACUUGAUUUAAAUGUAUUGAAUUGGUUGGUGAAUAUACUUAAAUAUUGUUGUAGGUGGAAAGCAAAAUGGGUGAGAAAUAUGGCCUAUUUUCGUCCACACGGGCAAAGACAUGGGCAUGUGUCUCAGCCGUGUGCGACACGGCCUUGCACACGGGCAUGUGGUUGGGCGUGUGACACAUGUCAGAGAGUUACACGGGUAUGAACACGUGUUAGGAUAUGGCCGUGUGCCUUACAUCGAAUGCCCACACGGCUUGGAACAUAGGCAUGUCACUCACACGGCCUACCUACACAGGCGUGGGUCCCCUACAUUUAAGAAAAAUUUUGAAAAUUUUAGUUAAAUUUUCUGAGUUCUCGAUUUAGUCUCGACUUGUUUCUAAUACAUAUAUUGGGCCUCGAGGGUCCAUUUAAGGGAAAAUAUGAUUGAAUAUGUUUGGUUUCGAUUAUGAAUAGUAAAUGAAAUGAUUUAACCGUAAUUAUUCUAUAAACUACGGUAAUGCUUUGUAACUUUGUUUCGGUGUCAGAUAUGGGUUAAAUGUGUUACAUAACAGUUCAAAAUAAAAUAUUAUAUUCAUUGAAUAAUUAAAUAAAUAAAAUAAUGAGCCUAAAAUAAUUUUAUAAUUAAAAACGAGCCGAGACUCUAGAUGCCAUGUUCGUGUCCUAACCUGGUGAGUUAUCUGUAAGUAUGAAAAUUUAAGGGGGAGUGAGCUAUAACACUCAGUGGGAGUUCCAUCACAAGAAAAUCAGUGCAAAUUAAUAAACUAAGCAUACAUAAUAACAAUUUUUAGUACGAUAAUAAUCAUAUGAUAUAACGAUAUUUUUGGCAGUUCAACAACCAUACUUAUAUGUGUCGAUGCAAUGCUAUACAAGUUAAGUUUAUCAGUAAAGAUAGGUCCUACCCCACCGCUACACUCCACAGUAAGAGUUUCCCAGAAAUCUUAUAUCUCGGACACUCUAAUUUGUGGAUGAACCACAAGUGUUCCAGGUUAAUAUGCUACCAAUAGUUGUGAAUACACAAUGGGUUUGCAGAUAGAAGUUGCUAGUAAAAGAUGUGGAUAAACCACUAGUAUUUGCAGGUUAAUACGCUGCCAAUGGUUGUGAAUACACGGGUUUGCAGAUAAAAACUACCACUAAUUUGUGGAUAAACCACCAGUGUUUUGUAGUUAAAAUUGCCAGUAUUUCCUCUUUAAAAAGAAUCCUACCCUAUGCAAUAUAGUAUGACAUGUAAGUAUCAAUACAGUACAGAAACAAUAGACAUGUUUGUCCUGGAUUUGGUAUGUCAAUAUAGUAAGCAUGCUAUUCACGCAAUUAGUAAUUUUGCGAUACUAGUAAAAAUAACAAUUAAUCAGUAAUUUAGUCAUAGAAGACAUGUAUUCAUCACAUAUCAUGCACAUAUAGUAAUAAUCUAAUAAAUCAAACAAUUUAUUCCACGUUAUUCAUAAUAUCAGAGACUUAAUUAAAAGAAAUAAAGCACUAAAAACAAUUCAAUGAUCAUGCAUGGAUUAAAUUGAACAAUUUACAAAAAUUUUGGGAAAAAUUGUAAAAUGGGGGCACAUGGCCGUGUGGAGGGGUUACACGGUGGUAUGGUUAGGCCGUGUAAUAGAUUGUGGCUGUGUGGAAUUUACAAAAUCAAGGUACAGGGGAGACACAAUUAUGUGGCAGGCCGUGUGAGAAUUGAAUAUCCUAAGGUUUCAGGGGGACAUGGUCGUGUGAGGGGUCGUAUGGUCCACAUGUGUAUCCCACAUGCCCGUGUGGUUGGCCAUAUGACCUUAUUUCGAGGUAUGAUUUAUCCCAAUUCGCUUGUAAAAUAACACACAUUCCACCGGGAUCUCGAAUGACAUCCCUCACAAUCAAAUUUGGUCUGAUGCACCUGUAACGGGUCCUUCAAACAACAUUUAUACACGGGUUAAUGUUUAUUUUCAAAAUCUAUCAAGAUUACCAGGAAUUUCAGCAAGAUUCGUAGAAUAUUCAUCAAUUAAAAUGAAAGAUUAGCAUCAGAUGCAAAAACUACGAGAAUUUGGGAUUAGUUAUCAGAAUUUAAUUGAACUUGCCAACAAUUCUUAGCAAGGAUUAAGAACAUUCCUAAUGGCGACUAUAAAACCGAUUAAAAAAUGUCUUAAAUCGAGAAUAGAUUUUGAUCCGGGAAGAAAUAAUAAAUUCAGCAAUGGAGAGAAAAUAUCUUGCAAAGAAGAAGCUAAGAAAGAAAAGAGAGAAGAAGUAGGGAAAAAGAAAUAAAAAUUUUCUGUUUGGUUUGGAAAAGGAAACAAGUGUUCAAAUGCAAUUAGGAAAAUGAUUAAAUAUUUAGGGGUUUCAAACUUUUAGGGGGUUGGAUAGCAAUUUAUCCCUGCUUCCGAAAAUAAAAGGAUAAUGAAGGAGAGUGAUUAGGCUUGAUCUUGAGCAUGCAAGGGAAAAGUGUAAAGACUUAAUCAUUGACUUGUUGCCCAUAAUUUGUUAAGUUUUUACUCUAAAUUAUAUAUGUUUUAAUGUGGUUUUCAUCCUAAGUUGCUAAAAAUAAAAGGAAAAAAAAUGAGAGAAGAGUGAAUAGAACCUAAGACCUUUAAAAAGUACACUAAUUACUUAACCAUGAAGCCUAGGUUAAUUUUUGAUUAAUUAUUUCAAUUAAUCUUCUAUAUUUCAAGGCGUGACAGUUAUAACUAAGAAUUAUAAUUAAUUUAUAAAUAUUUUUAAAUAUCAAUUUAAUAAUAUGUUAGAAAAAAAUAUUCUUAUCAGUUCAAAAUUUUUUCAACUCAUAUAUAUAUUAUAGAUGAUUAGAUAUCAAAUUUAAUUAUAAAAACUUAAAAAGUCCAACCCGCUGGCAUACAUGUAAAUUACCAUCAACCUAACGCUUCGUUUGUUUGCCAGUAAAAUAUUUUCCGGAAAAUGAUUUCUGGAAAAUGAUUUACUUUUCUGGAAAUGAUUUAAUUUUCUGGAAAUGAUUUACUUUUCUGGUGUUUGAAUGAAUCUGUGUAAAAUAUUUUCUAUUGUUUGGUAGAUUUCCUAAAAAUAUUUUCCGGAAAAGCUAUUUUUAUAUAUAUUAAUAAAUUUAUAUUUUAAAUUAUUUUUACAUAUAUUGCAAUGAUCAAAUUAAAUAUAUAAUAAUACUCAAUUAUUGCAUUGUUCAUUCUUCAUUCGGAUUUAUUGCAUUGUUGCUCUAGAUUUAGAUAGAGCUUCAUACUUCAUCCGGAUAAAUUGCUCAAAAACUCCAACAAAUGUAACUUUAUAAAGAGGAACAAAAAAUCAGAAAGAAAACCAUUUGUUUGACUAUAUAGAGCUAAUAAUUUAUGCAUGAACUCGAAUGUUGGAUCACAUAAACAACAUUUUGCAAGAGAACAGAAAAGAUACAUGACAAAUGCACUUAAAUGGGGGCAUGCAUACCCAUGUUACGCCAGUGCAUGAAAACUUACCUAAACAAUACCUAGAACAUCAAUAAGCCUGCACCUUGCAGAGGAAACAACAAAGCAAAGAAAGAUUAUAGCACUAUAAUGGAAUUUUCUCCACCAAUGAAGAUGGCUAUUUCAAGCAAACAAAUGGCUCUGAGUUUUAAUUGAUUUGUGCAUUCAUGAAGCUAAAAAGAAGAGCACAUAUGAAUUUCUUGAUGGACAUUUUAUAACUUUCAAUAAUUAGGUGAUCAAAAAGAUAAUUUACUAAUAAUUGAGUGAUAUUUUUUAACUUUGCAUAGUUAAGUUACCAAAAGGGAAAAAACCAUAGUUAAGUGGCCUCUACUAUAAUUUACCCAAAGAUAUAUAAAUACACUUGCAACAAUAUUUCUUAUUUCAAUUUUUGAAAAAUUUAAACUUUUAAUUAAAUUAAUAUUCGAUUAAAGUAACAUUUUUAACUUAAAAAUGUUCUAAUUUUUACCAGCAAUCUUGGCUGUUCUUUCCUAAAAGAAAAAAAAAAGAACAGAAACCUAAGCAAAAAAAUAAGUUACACGUAGUGUUGUUGUAAGUCAAAUUUUACAGGCUAUUCUCUGCCAUUUAUCAUCCACCCCCCAUUAUAAGUAUACAAGCUGUGUACAUUAAUGCAUAGAAGUUAAAACCUCCAAAACAUUAAGUUAUUGUCUCUGCCACAUUAUUACAAGUAUUUGCAUGUCUAGAGCAUAAACUACGGCUGAAAGCUAAUGGUUCUUAGAGCUGUAAGACUGAUUUAAUGAUGAAUAUACACUUCACUGACAAUGGGUUGAGCAUAAAUUCAAUCGCAGAUAAAUUUUAGCUACUUCUUUCAGUAAUCGACUCCUCUCUAGUUUCACUUUAACAUCCAUUUAGAUCCUGCCAUUUGAGGUGAAAAAGCUGGUGGUGUGCCCAGCAAUGUCGAACUUCCCGGGCAUUCACCGUUUAGGUAUCCUUGUCACAUAGGCCAAAGCUCUAAUGCCAUAAAAAAGCCCCAUCAAAACCUCAUACCCAGUUGUGUGAAGUGCCUCAGGCUGGUGCCAGAACAAGAUGAGCUUGUGAAGAAUGGGUGCUAUUCCUGACAUGCCCAUGCCAAAGAAGAGGGAUGCACGAAUGCUGCGAAACUCUGGAUUCUAAAACCCUGGCAAUAAGGAAACUAAGAUCGUUGCGACUCCCAAGAUGGUUAUGAAUCCCAAAUAGAGGUUGCAAAAGAAUGGAUCACACAUGAAGGAGUAAUACACUGGAGGAUAGAAGGAAGUAGAAAUGAGAGCCGCGAUCCCAGCAUAGUCUAGCCUGAGCAUGAUAUAUAAUAGGCGCUCAGAGUGGCAAGAGAGAAGGUGGCAUGUGAUGCUAGCCAGCAAGCAGAACAUUGCACCACCCAAGAAGGCAAAGAAAGGCCACCGUGUUAUCGGCCUCACCAUCAGGGGUGCUAUUAUGUUUGCCAAAUCCUCCUUCACGCUUUGUUGCAAUUAGAAAGAAUAAAAUGUAUUAGCUGCAUGAAACUCCCACAUGCAUAGUGUAACCAUUGGUAUUAAAAGAACAGAUAUCACUACGUCAUAGAAAACCACCGUAAUAAGACAAAGAAACAAAAUACAAAGAAGAAAUCAAAGAAUUAGAAAAAAAAAUCUGUUGUGCGGAAGCGUGUAAAAGAGUAAAAUUAUUGUACUAAAAAAUCACACUAAGUUCAAUUCCCAGGAAAGAGAGGUGGAUCACAAGGAUCGCUUAAGUACCAGGUCUUUCCUAGCCAGAAUAUCCCUCAAUCGUAAUUUAAUAGCAUAAUAAAUCACUACAAUCACACACACAAUUCAUGUAGAAUAAUACAAUAAAGAAUACAAGAAUUUAACGAGGUUCAGCAAAUUUUGCCUACAUCCUCGGGCACUACCAAAUAUAUUUCACUCCAAAAUACAAGUGAGAAUUUACAAAGAGAGAGAGAGAAAACAAUGCCUUAAGUAGAGAAUGGCAAGUUUGAGAUGCAGAAUGAGAGAUGGUUAUGCCUAUUUAUAGUUGAGGUUCAGGGAUCAACUUGCAAAGUCACUUUACAAUUAGGGACCAUAUAUUGCAAAUAUCUCAGAUUUUAUUAUGCCAAUAUCUCGAUACCCAUAUAUUUGACUUUCCAAUAUUUGAUACCCAUAUCUUUGACUUUCCAAUAUUUGAUACCCAUAUCUUUGACUUUCCAUUAUUUGAUACCCAUAUAUUUGAUUUUCCAUAAAUAUGGAUAAUUCCCAAUAAUCUCCACCUUGAAGAUUUGAUUCGAGUAAUCUUAUCAUCACACAAUUCUCUCUGCCUUUGUCAACAACACUUGAUAGUGCCUUCUUCAACUGUUAAACAUGCAGAAUAUUGAUCAAGUUCAAACAAUGUUCGAACUUGAUUGUUGUUACCACCUUGGUCAUCAUAUCUGCGGGAUUAUCUGCAGUCUUAAUCUUCUGAAGGUGAAUUUUCCCCUCAUCAAUAAUUUUCCGCACAAAGUGGAAACGUACAUCGAUAUGCUUUGUACGUGCAUGAUAGACUUGAUUCUUUGCUAAAUGAAUAGCACUUUGACUAUCACAAUACACAUUAAUAUGCUCCUGGACCAAUCCCAAGGUUUUAACCAUACCUUGUAACCAAAUAGCUUCCUUUACAGCCUCUGUUACAGCCAUGUAUUCAGCUUCUGUGGUUGACAACGCAACUGUAGACUGCAGUGUAGACUUCCAACUUAUUGGUCCUCCAGCAAGAGUAAACACAUAACCAGUGGUUGAUAUUCGUUUGUCCAAAUCACCGGCAUAAUCAGAAUCAACGUACCCAACAAGACCUUUACCAAGUGUAGUAUCCUGCUUGAACAGUAAUCCAAUAUCCAUGGUCUUAUGAAUAUACCGUAGAAUCCAUUUCACAGCUUGCCAAUGUCCUUUUCUAGGAUUAUGCAUAUACCUGCUCACUAUACUAACUGCCUGUGAAAUGUCGGGUCUUGUACACACCAUUGCAUAUAUCAAGCUACCCACUGCAUUAGAAUACGGAACUUGCAACAUGUAUUCUCGUUCCGUAUUCGUCGAAGGAGAUAGUUGUGCAGAAAGCUUGAAAUGAGAAGCCAACGGGGUACUUACAGGUUUUGUCUGCUCGUUCAUGCCAAACUGCUGUAGUACCUUUUUCAAAUACUGCUUCUGAGACAAGCUAACUCUAUCAUGAGCUCUAUCUCUCCAUAUUUCCAUGCCGAGAAUCUUUUUAGCUUCUCCUAGAUCUUUCAUCUCAAACUCGAGAUUGAGUUGAGUGUUCAAUCUUUCAAUCUCAACUUUGCUCUUAGAUGCUAUUAGCAUAUCAUCAACAUAUAAGAGCAAGUAUAUGAAAGUUCCUUCUUGUAGCUUCUGAAAAUACACGCAAUGAUCAAAUUUACUUCUUGUGUACCUUUGCCCUUUCAUGAACUGAUCAAAUCGCUUGUACCACUGCCUCGGAGAUUGCUUCAAUCCAUAAAGUGACUUUGUCAGUUUGCAAACCCAAUUUUCUUUUCCAGCAACCUUGAAUCCAUCUGGCUGAGUCAUAUAGAUUUCUUCUUCCAAAUCACCGUGUAAAAACGCGGUCUUCACAUCAAGCUAAACUAGUUCAAGAUCAUAUUGCGCAACCAAGGCUAGCAAAAUCCGAAUAGACGAAUGCUUCACAACUGGAGAAAACACUUCAUUGUAGUCUAUUCCUUCUUUCUGAGCGUAACCCUUUGCUACUAAUCUAGCCUUGUAUCGAAUUUCAUUUUUAUCAGGAAAUCUUUCCUUCCCUGGGGUAGUGUCACCAACUCCCAAGUCCUAUUUUUAUGAAGAGACUGCAUUUCUUCAUUCAUAGCUUGCUUCCACUUUACACUAUCAGAGUUACUUCUUGCUUCUGUGUAAGUAGAAGGAACAUCAUCAUCUGCAAUUGGAAGUGCAUAGGCCACCAUAUCAUCAAAGCGAGCAGGCAUACGAAUCUCUCUUCUUGGCCUUCUAUAUGCAAUUGAAUCAUGUUGUUGUAGAAGUUCUUGGGUCGAAACUUCUUCAUCAUUUGUUCCUUCAAUAUUAGCUGGAUCAUCAUUAACCUUUUCAAGCUCCACCUGCUGCAAAGUGCCACUGGUUGUGUUAUCCUUUUGUGAAUCAUUGUUCUUCAUCAUGGUUGAUUCAUCAAAAGUCACAUCUCUACUGAAAAUUAUUUUUCUUGUAUCAGGACACCAGAGACGGUAUCCUUUUACCCCAUCAGUUAUACCCAAGAAUAAUACUUUCUUUGCUCUUGGGUCUAACUUAGAUUCUUUUACAUGAUAAUAUGCAGUGGAACCAAAUACAUGCAAAGAAUCAUAAUCAGUAGCAGAUUUACCAGUCCACAUCUCCAUAGGAGUUUUUCCAUUUAUUGCAGCUGAUGGCAAACGGUUAAUUAGAUGGCACGCAUAUGUAACUGCCUCAGCCCAAAAUUCUUUGCCAAUCCAGCAUUGGACAACAUACAUCAAACUUUCUCCAGUAUAGUUCGAUUCAUUCGUUCUGCCACCCCAUUUUGCUGUGGUGUAUCCCGAACAGUGAAGUGUCGCACAAUGCCCUCAUCUUGGCAUACUUGUAGAAAUGGAUCGUUUUUAUACUCAGUACCAUUAUCUGAUCGAAGUCGUUUGACCUUUCGACCAGUCUGAGUCUCCACCAUCUUCUUCCAUUUCAGAAAUGCAUCCAAAACUUCACUUUUUCUUUUCAUUAGAUACACCCAUACUUUUCUUGAAUAAUCAUCAACAAAAGUAACAAAAUAGUGCAUACCUCCCAAAGAAGCUACUUUGGUAGGUCCCCACACAUCACUGUGAACGUAGUCCAGAAUUCCUUUCGUAUUGUGAAUUGCUGGACCAAAUUUUACCCUCUUCUACUUGCCCAGAACACAAUGUUCACAGAAUUCCAUUUUGCAAGAAUUUGCACCUUUCAAUAAGCCUUGCUUCACCAAUGUCUGCAAAGCUUUUUCACCAGCAUGUCCCAAUCGCAUAUGCCAUAAUCUGGUAGCCUCUGAAUCUACAUCUUUUGUAGAAACUGUUGAUGUUGAUCCAAUAACUGUACUUCCAUUUAAAAAAUACAAGUUAUUUCUUCUUGUGCCUUUCAUCACCGUCAGUUGCCCAGCUACUACUUUUAGUAAUCCAUCUCUCAAAGUGAUUGUGAGCCCUUUAGAUUCUAGGGCACCUAAUGAGAUGAGAUUUUUCUUCAGGCUAGGUACGUAGCGAACAUCUGUCAAGACUUGGAUUGAGCUGUCGUGAUUCUUCAAUUGGACUGUACCCACUCCCAUUGUCUUACAAGCACUAUCAUUUCCCAUAAGAACAAUUCCACCUUCUAGCUCUUUAAGACUAGAAAACCAGUCCUUAUUAGGACACAUAUGGUAAGUACAUCCUGAAUCCAAAAUCCACUCAUCCGUUUGACAUGCCAUUGCCAUGCCAACCAAGCUAAAGUCUGACUCCUCAUCAUGCUCCGCUACACAUGCAUUAGAAAUAGCCUUGCCCUUUUGUAGCUUAGGACAAUUCUUUUUCCAAUGCCCUUUUUCACGGCAAAAGGCACAUUCAUCUUUGGCGGGUCUCCCUUUGGACUUUCCCCUUCUACCAGAUUUGCUGCUGUGUGAACGACCUCUUACUGUUAAGACUUCUGCGGUUGUAUCUCUGUGAUCUCUUUUAUCUUUCUUUCGAGUCUCAGAUCUAUACAACGUACUACAGACUGCAUCAAAUGUGAUCGUGUCCUUCCCAUGAAGCAAUGUGGUGGUAAGAUGAUCAUAUUCAUCAGGAAGGGAAUUCAACAACAAUAAUGCCUUGUCUUCAUCUUCAAAUUUCUCAUCCAAAUUUAGCAAGUCUGCUAAAAUUUUAUUGAAUGAGUUCACAUGGCCAUUCAUCGACAUACCGAGUGCAUACGUGAAUCGAUAAAGUUUCUUUUUCAUAUAAAGCCUAUUUUCAAGACUUUUUGUUAGAAACUUUUCUUCCAGUGUAUCCCACAACUUCUUCGCUGAUGUCUCCCUCAUGACAGAGUACUUCUGCUCUUUGGCCAAACAUAGGCGAAUUGUUCCACAUGCCUGUCUAUUGAUCUUGGCCCACUCCUUGUCAUCUAUCUUGUCAGGUUUUUCUUCAAGGGCUAUAUCCAACUCUUGCUGACAUAAGACAUUCAGGAUCUCACAUUGCCACAUACCAAAAUUAUUGGUACCAUCAAAUUUCUCUACUUCAAAUUUCGCAUUGGUCACAGUAGUCUUUGACGAUGACUUUUCCAUUUUUUCUCCUCAAUCCCAACUACAGUACGUGAACAAUGCCGUGAACGAUUGUAUUCCCCAAGUACGAAUCUAGCUUUGAUACCAAUUAUUGUGCAGAAGUGUGUAAAAGAGUAAAAUUAUUGUACUAAAAAAUCACACUAAGUUCAAUUCCCAGGAAAGAGAGGUGGAUCACAAGGAUCGCUUAAGUACCAGGUCUUUCCUAGCCAGAAUAUCCCUCAAUCGUAAUUUAAUAGCACAAUAAAUCACUACAAUCACACACACAAUUCAUGCAGAAUAAUACAAUAAAGAACACAAGAAUUUAACGAGGUUCAGCAAAUUUUGCCUACGUCCUCGGGCACUACCAAAUAUAUUUCACUCCAAAAUACAAGUGAGAAUUUACAAAGAGAGAGAGAGAAAACAAUGCCUUAAGUAGAGAAUGGCAAGUUUGAGAUGCAGAAUGAGAGAUGGUUAUGCCUAUUUAUAGUUGAGGUUCAGGGAUCAACUUGCAAAGUCACUUUACAAUUAGGGACCAUAUAUUGCAAAUAUCUCAGAUUUUAUUAUGCCAAUAUCUCGAUACCCAUAUCUUUGACUUUCCAAUAUUUGAGACCCAUAUCUUUGACUUUCCAAUAUUUGAUACCCAUAUCUUUGACUUUCCAUUAUUUGAUACCCAUAUCUUUGAUUUUCCAUAAAUAUGGAUAAUUCCCAAUAAAAUCUGAUUGAUUCUUUUCAUUCACAAAAAACUACUUUUCUGAUAGAGCCUUCUUAACUGCUCAUACCAGUUUUACAACCUCUUUAACCCUGCAACUAACAGUAACUAACAACAUUACUGCUAUCACCACUUAACUUUCCAAAAUUAUUAAGGAUAACAAUUUCCAGGGAGACAAGAUAAGACAUGAAAUGUUCAUGCAUACACAUUUAUCUUAAAAUUGUAUCCACUAUGGAUCCAUAAGGUUAAAACUGGCAGCUGCAAAAAAUGUUACAGGAUUCAAGCAUCGCUACCCUCUCAUUUUUCAGACUCUGAAGUGCACUUCCAGUAAGAUCCUAUUAACAUGAAUAUACUAAAAUAAACUUUUGAACUAUCACAAUCGUGGCAGUUGAUUUCCCAUUGCAAGGACGCUAGCAAAAUAAACUACAUACUUCGUAUUUAGACCUGCUCAUGGGUCGGGUUACUCGGCCCGGCCCGAAGGCCCUCCCGAAAUGUGAGAGGGUUUGGGCAAAAAUAAAGGCCCGAAAAAUGGGCUUGGACAAAAAAAUAAAGCCCAUUUAAAAAACGGGUCAGGCUUCGGGUAAGGUAUUUUUUGCCUGAGCCCGGCCCGGCUUGGCCCGAAUUCACUAAAUGACAAAAAAAAUCUGCUAUUUCUUGUUUUUUAAUGUUAUUUUCUUAUUAAUUUUGUUAUUAUUUUAAAGGCAUUUGUUAAUUUUGUUAUUAUUUUAGAUGUAUUUGCUUGUUAAGUUGCAUCUAUCUUAGUGCUAUUUAAGUCUACAUAUUUUUUAAAAUUUAUUUUCAAUUUGUUGGAAAAUAUUUAUUUUGAUUUUUUAGUAUUUUUGAUGUAUUAUAUAUAUUUAAAAAUUAUAUAAAAUAAUAUAAAAAAUAAUAUGGGCGGGUCGGGUCGGGCUCGGGUUUUAGCAUUUUUAUUUGGGCGGGGUUGGGAAAAAAUUGUAGGCCUAUUUUUUAGGCCCGGCUCGGCCCGAGCCUAAUGAAUGGGCCUAAAUUUUUAGUUGAGCCCAACCUAAACCCGGCCCGACCCGACCCAUGAGCACCUCUAUUCGUAUUUAAAGUUCCACAUAUUGUGUUCAAAACAUUGUAAGUUAAGGGGAAAAAAAUCUACAAGACAGACAUAUACCAUAUAGGAUGUUAUAUGCUUAAAAAAGAUUUCCCUGGAUAACAAUACUAAGCUUUCCAUGGUUUUUGCUUAUAAGAGAAGCAUUUAUUGAACCAUGUCAACACGGUAGAUAUCAACUUUAUAACUUAGCACCUAUGGCUAUAAUCAUAUGCCUUUAAUUGUUUAUAAAGAUUCUUGAGUAAAAAUUUUUAGCAGGAAGUAUACUAACAGAAAGGCCUAUUUGAUGCCCACAGGUCUUUCAGUUCUUCACAUUUAUUGACCCAUAAUACUAAAACUUUAUGGAUAGGUCUUAGGAUUAUAAUUCCUUUCACUGACAACAAUAGGACAGAGGAAAAGAAGUCUUUAUGGAUUCUCUGCCUCAGAAACAAGAUUCAGUGUUGUCAGGGCAUGCGCCUAGGCACACCUGAGCUGUGCGCCUUAACACUAGACAACAGAAGUGCCUCAAACCCUUUCAGGUAAUACCCAUUUAACCAGGCACACACCUUUUUUGCAAGGCAAUAGGAAUAAAAAGCAUCCGCCUCAUAUAAGUUCUCUUUAAUUUAAUUUAAUUUUCACUUUUUUCAUUAGAUAUACCUUUACCAAUAAGAAAGGGUUAGUAUUAAACUCUAUCCUUAUCAAAAUUCGUGUAUUAAACAAUAGACAUGAACCAUAAGUAAAUCAUGUAUAUUGACCAAUAAUAGAAUUGCAUGUUUUGUAGAUAUAGAUCACACUUUAGAGUUUAUUAUAUAUCUUAUGCUAUAUAUAUAGACAUAGAAAAAUGCACAGAUAUACAUAUUGCACUUCAUUUCACUCAAGCUACUACUUUUUUUUUUACACCUUGCACCUGAGGCUACAAGAGUAGCCCCUUCCCCGGUAAGGCAGCAACCCAACUAUUUCUUUCUUGCCUGGAGGCUUUUCUUAUUCUAAAAUUUAUGAUAUUCACUAACCUAUAAAAUCCAGAGUCCUUUAUUACAGAAUAAUUUAAGGCUUUCUUAAUUUCUAUAAUUCACCACCAGAAAUCUAAUUAAUGGGAUAUCAGAAACCCAAAACCUUUCUCUAUUGCUCACAGAGACUUAAACAUGUAUUUCACUAAAUUUGGCUCAAACAUAAACCCAACAUAAAAAUCUAAAAUUAUAUUGCAGCGAAAGAAGCUAUAAUUGACAUACUUGCAUAUUAUCUUUAUAGUGUUCAAGUAUCAAAAUUGAUAUGAAGUACAGGAAACUUCAAAGAAGAUAGAGGCAACCAUUUCCUAACAUUGAUGAAAAAACCACACCAAAACCUUGAAUCGACAGAAUUUACCCAAACCCAGAAAAAGAGCUUUAAAAAGAACAAGAAGAAAAUGUGGACAAGUAAAGAACAAGAAAAAAAAAGCUUUAAAAAACGAUGCCAUUCCUUAAGUCAAGACCUUGCGAAGAGGAAUGAGAUUUGCCUCAGAAAGAGAGAAAGAGAGGAAUGAAAUUUGCAGAAAGAGAGAAAGAGAGAAAGAAGAUGAAGAACGGAAAGAAGGGAGAAGGACUUUUACCAGGAUGAAGAAGAAGAUGGAAAAUGUCUUACAGAAAAAAAAUCCUUAAGGCAUUUUCCCUAAAAUGAAUGAGAUUUUACCCGUGUCUUGGAAAAUAAUUUCCAAAACAGAGCCUAAAUGAAACUUUAGUUACCAAAUCAUACCAGUUAAAAAAUUAGAGUAAAUUAUAUUAUUAAUUACUUAAUUAUAGUACAAUUAUUUUCUAGUUACUCAAUUAUGAAAAGUUACAAAAUAAUCAUCUAAUUAUUCAUUUUUUUAUUUUUUGUCACCGGCUGGCUAACGUGUAAAAAGAAAAACCCAAAAAUCAAAUAUAGUUGAGUAGCCAAAGAAAAAAAUUACUAAUAAUUAGGUGACUAGUACUAUAGUUUACCCUAAAAUUUAAAGGUAAAACUUUUCAAAUGAAUGCAUUUUAUAAUAAUUAAUAAAAUAAGAGUUAUAUUAAGUACUGAAAAGUUACUCAACUAUCUUAGAUUUUUGUUAUUUUUAUUUUAUUUUUUACUCUAGUUAUUAAAAAAGAUAAAAUUAAAUAAUUGGAUAACCAUAUUGUAACCUUUCAUACUUGGAUGACCAAAAAAGAAACCUAACAAUAAUUGAGUGAUUGAAUUUUUUUUUACUAAUAAUUAUGUGACUAAUAAUAUAAUUUACCUAUAAAUUUAAAGGUAAAACUUUCCUUAUGAAUGCAUUUUAUAAUAAUAAAUAAAAGAAGAGUUAUAUAUAAAAUUGAAAAGUUGUAACAAAUUGGGGUGAUAAUAUAUCCGUGAAGCACUCCCCACCAUGCUAAUACCACCAAGCUAAUAAUAAACUAAAAAUAACCAUUAAUUUGCUAAGAAAAUGGUUACUUUGGUAGUAUAAAUAGGGCAUUUCAAUGAUGUAUUAUUCAAGCCAAGGGGCAAUAAGUAAUAAGCAAUAAGCAGCCCCACAACUUCAAAAGGUUUUUUUUUUUCUUUUCCUAUCUCUGUUUAAAAUCUAUUUCAAGGGAAAGGAGGAGGAAAAUUUUAUAAUUUUUUGAGGGUUUUUUAAGAAUAAAUAGAAAACUAUGGCGAACAAUGCUGCUGUUAUUGGUAUCUGUUCAGUGUUCUUGGUGGCAGCAGUGGUGGCAACAGUGGUGGGUGUCACGCAUUUAAAAAACAACGGUGAUUCGAAAAGCGGUGAAAUAUCGAGUUCGACAAAAGCAGUGCAGACGGUUUGUCAACCCACACAGUUCAAAGAGGUAUGCGAGAAGAGCCUGGAGUCAUCUAAUUCCACCGACCCUAAAGAGCUGAUAAGGACGAGUUUCCAAGCAGCGAUAGAGGAAAUAAGGAAAGUGUUGGCGAAUUCAGCGACGAUACAAGACUUGAAUAAAGAUGACAACAACAAAGCAGCCCUUAAGGUUUGUAAAGAAGUGUUGGAUUUAUCAAUAGCUGACCUGCAACUUUCAUUUGAUAAGCUGGGGGGAUACGAGAUGAGUAAGAUCGGUGACUACAUACUGAACCUGAGGGUGUGGUUAAGCGGUGCCUUAACUACCUUACAAACAUGUGUAGACUCAUAUGCGGAAGUAAAUAAUGAACAAGCGGAGAAGAUGAAUUCAAUUUUGAAGACUUCAAUGGAGCUUACCCAAAAUUCUUUAACCAUGGUGACUAAGUUAUCCACCAUCUUGAAUGGCCUUAAAAUUCCAGGCCUCAAUAUCGACACGACUGGGUUCGAACGUAAGCUCCUGUCUAACGAUGGACCUGAGUGGAUAGGCCACGCUGAAAGGAGACUACUUCAAGCAAAACCAACAGAUUUGAAGCCUAACGUUGUGGUUGCUAAGGAUGGUAGUGGAAAAUAUGAUACCAUCACCAAGGCCUUGGCUGAAGUCCCUCUGAAAAGCCCGAAUCGAUUUAUUAUUCACAUUAAGGCUGGUACUUACAAGGAACAAGUCCUUUUACCCAAGGAGAUGACUAAUGUUAUGUUCAUCGGUGAUGGCCCAACUAAGACCAUCAUCACCAAUGACCUUAACUGCAUUAGGGAUCAUCCGCUUAAAACAUUCGGCACUGCAACAGUUGGUAAGUAGCAGUAUCUACAUAUAAGUUUUGGUGGUGAGGUGAGGUGACUAACUAGUAUGUAUGUUUGUGAAAUAUUGUAGGUGUGGAUGGGGCUGGUUUCAUGGCCAGGGACAUUGGAUUCGAGAACACAGCAGGACCCCCUGGUCAUCAAGCAGUAGCUUUUAGGGCAACAUGUGAUAUGGUUAUCAUGUUCAAUUGUCAUUUCAAUGGGUACCAAGACACCCUUUAUGCUCACAAAGAGAAACAAUUUUAUAGGGAUUGUCUCAUCAGCGGGACAGUAGAUUUCAUCUUUGGGGAUGCGGCAAGCGUGUUCCAAAAUUGUCAGAUCAUCGCAAGGAAGCCAGGUGAAAACCAGAACAACAUGAUUACAGCCCACGGAAGGAAAUUCCCAUACACUCACUCAGCCAUUGUGCUUCAAAAUUGUACCAUCUCGGGUGCCCCUGACUACCUCCCGGUGAAGGACAAGAGUAAGACGUACCUAGGUCGUCCUUGGAAAGCUUUGGCCAGGACCAUCAUAAUGCAAAGCAAUAUUGAUGACAUCAUUACACCAGAGGGUUACUGCCCCAUGCAAGGCACCGUAGGACUAGACACCGGUUACUUUGUAGAGUUCCAAAACAGGGGACCCGGUGCCAAAACCGAAGGCAGGGUCAAAUGGCCAUCUAUCAAGACAAUAGAUAUAAAUGAAGCCAAGAAAUGGACUCCUGGCGUCUUUCUUGAAACUGCAACUGACAAUUGGAUUUCGCAAACCGGCACUCCUUGUUAUCCUGACAUGGUCCCUGGAGUGUAAACUUCCAAAACCAUCGCCAUUAGUAUUCUUUUAAUAUCAUUAUUAGUAAUCAUGCUGUCGAUUAUUGAUUAAGUUAAACAAUUUUUUCCUAUGUUUUAUUUAUAUUAAUAAUAUAUUCAUUAUUAUGGAAGGAGCAAACUAAAAUUAUUUUCUUAUUCCCGAUUAUAAAAAAAAAAAGAAACUACUAGAGAUAGAUAUAAAGUUUAAUAUGCUAUUAAACAAAAAAAAAACAAUAUUAUUAAUUUUGCUAUGUAUUUCAUUAAUUAAAAUAGUACAUCUUAAUAUAUUUUAUUAAUUAAUAUAAUAAUUUUUAAAAAAAAUAUUUUUUUAGUAUAUAUGAUUUUAAUAAUUUGUAAUUAUCAUUUAACAUAAAUGUUAUUUUAAUGUAUAAUAAAAUAUUUAAUAUAGAUAUAAUUUCAAUACUUUUAUUAUUUUAAUUUAUAAAUGUAAUUUAUAAUAUGCUAUUUAAUGUAAUAUUUAAUAUAAAUAUUAUAUUUCAAAAUUAUAUUUGAGCUAACGAGUCUAAAAAACUUCCGCUACUCCUGGUUCGAUUCAUGCCUUUCUAUCGUUGCAUAUACUAACAACGACAACUUGGAGUCCUACAUCUGCUGAUUUUUAACACUUCUAGUGGAAUGCAAUAUAUGACAUCGGUGUCGGCGUACUACAUUCAUCCAAAUUGAAAAACAAAAUCGUAAAUAUCAUUAUAUAUGAAUUUUUUUACGAAUCAUUACGUAAUUAAUAUAGGUUUGAAAGAACAAGUAACAAACAUCGGCUUCUGAGCAUUGAUCUAACAACAACCUAAUAUCUUUUAACUCCUCGGGUAGUUCCAUGUAGCUCAACCCAUGGUUCCACCUGUACAAGCGAAAUGUUAGUCGAAACAUAUAAUAAAAAAAUUCUACAUUGAGUACGUAUUUGUUAAUAAAUGAUAUUUACCUUAUCACCAAUGGGAACAUAUAUGGGUCGGUCACAUUAAGACGUAGAAAUAGUAGUCACCACCAGGACCACGACUACAGUAGGAAUAGACAACCACAGAUCAACGCUGCACUCAGUAUCGUGGCCCGACACAUCUCCCAGUAUAACGUGGACAAUAUGACAAAUUCCCAAUUUAAUUUCCCGCACUCAUUGAAGUCUACUAAAUGUAAGUCCACUAAAUGUAGUAGCAACCUUACGUAUAACAAAUUUCAAAAUUUGACGGGUAUUAAAAUGACCUAAUUAACCUCAUGAUGUAUGCUUGGGCGUAUUGUUUUAUGACCUCCUCCGUUCGGUCUACAAGGUCUUCAAGGAGCUCGUCAAAAUUAGCAUUUAACUAGUUCAUUGAUAUCUAACCACUUUCAAACUUGUUUGGAACGUCCCACAAUAGUGAUUAGCAGAGGCCCACUUUGCUUAAAACGACCCCUGAUCCCCUGGUGAUUGACCCAUCUACUGGCAAAUCGAGUUGUAGCGUUACAUCAUCGAGUGUGAUUGUACACUUGCCGCAUAGAAGAUGGAAAUUGUGUAUUUCAGGCAUCUAUCUUUCCACCAAUGUGUUGAUUAGUGCCAAAUCGAGUUUGUAGCCCCCGAACAUUUGAGACGCAUGUAAGAAUCCAGCCGCUUUCAAGUGACCACGAAUUUCAAGGAUCGCAGUCUUUCCCAUAUUAUGAAUGAAGGCCUACAGAAUAUGAUCAUCACCUAUUUACACAAUAAAAACAUUUUGAAAUUAAAAAAUAAUUAAAUUUAACAUUAUUGAAAUUAACGAAAUUUAAAUUUUCGACUUACCAUUGCUACUUGUGUAACACCUUGAUUUUGGGCCUAAUCGGAACAGUGGUUUUGGGAGCACAAAUCCGACGAUGAAAAUUUUAUUUUUUAUUAUAUUUUAUGGUCUAAAAUUACACGGAAUAAUUUCGUGAAAAUUUCGUUCGAAAAUUUUGACGUUCGGGCACUUAAUUUAGUUAAAAGGACUAAAUCAUAAAAAGUGCAAAAGUUGAGUUCUACAUACUAGAGGUGUCCAAUUGUUAUGAAAUUUUAAAUUGAAGGUCCUUAAUUAGACCAUUGGUUAAUUUCUGGACAAAAAUAGACAUGAAAUGGGUGUAAUAAAACAUUUUUAAGUUAGGGAUAUUUUGGUAAAUUAAUAAUUAAAAGAAUUAAAAAGGGAAAUAAGCCAAAUUAGCUAUUAUCUUCUUCAUUCAACCCUUUCUACCAGAAACAGCCAUGGUUAAGGUUUUUUCAAGCUCCCAAGCUCGAUUGUAAGUGCUCCCUAGCCCCGUUUUUAAAGUUCUUUACAUUUUUGAAAUCCCAAUAACUAGGUUAAGCUUAUUCUAGCAAUAAUUUAACCUAGGGUUUAUAUUUGGAAAAAUACUCAUAGGUGAAAUGUGUUUAUUUUGAUGUUUUAUGGUAGAAUAUGAAGUUGAAAUUGUGUUAAACAAUUUUUACUAAGCGAUUUUACGUGAAAACACAUAAUCGGUAAAAAUACCUAAUGUUCAUAAGUACAUGUUAGAGUGCGAAUUUGAUGUUGCUAUAGAAGGGAAAAAUGACUAGCAUGUCAUAAAACAUAAGGAAAUAGGAUGAAGUUUAAUUUACGAGCCUAGGGGCAAAAAUGUAAUUUUGACAAAGUUUACGGGCAAAAUUGUAAUUUUUCCAAAAUACUAUUUUGGGUUAAUUUGAAUGAUGUGAGUCCUAAUUAGGCUAUAUUUGAAAUGAUAGAUCAAGGAAAAAUCAAAAUUCGAGAUAAAAUCGAAAAAUAUCAGGUUGUGGACAAAAUGGUAAAAAUGGCCAUUUUCGCAUACGAGGUAAGUUCAUAUAUUUUUUAAUAAUGUAAUGUGUAAUUGAAUGUUAUUGCCUUGAUAUUAAAUGAGAUGUAAGUUCAUGUGUAAAUGUGGUAACAUAAUUGUCAUUUUAAGUAAUUUAAUGAUAUUUAUUUGAUAUGAUGAUUAUUAUCAUGAAAUAUUAUGCUUUGUGGUUAUUAUUGAGUAAUAUGCAAAUUAUAUGAGCUAAUUGAUAAAUAUUAAAUGCUACCAAGUAUCGGUUCCAACAUUCCGUAGAAGACGACAAAGAUGUGUGAUUGAGGAAAAUCCCGUUUGAACCUUGGGAAUAGAUUGGGAUACAAGUGACAUGUCACUAAGAUAUUUGAGUUCCGAACUUGUUGAGUUAAGUCUGAGUUCACUUAUGGAUGCGAACGCCCGAGCUCGUUGAGUUGAGUCCGAGUUCGCUUAUGGGUGGGUUACAUGGUAGCUUGCCUACACAUAUAUUCCGCAGGCUAUUGAGUUUGUCUAGCUGUGGGUAUGGCACUUAUGUGCAUGCAUUCCGUGUAUCCGAUUAUAUUCCGAGUGUUCAACGGGUAAUUUGGCGAAGUAUUAGUUGAUGAUCCUAAUGAGAUAAGCCAUUGGUGAGUAUGUCUUUGAGUUAUGUUACAAGUUGUAUAGGUAUGUACACUAAACUUAUGUGUGAUGCCUUGACAUGUGAUGAUCUAUGAUGUAUAUAGUAUUUGGUGAAUAUUAUGAAAAUGACAUGAUUUGGAAUAAGUAUUUGAUACUUGAUAACAUUGAGAUUAUGGAUUUAUGCUUAUGAAGCAUAAUUAUGUGUUCUUACCAUUAUGAAUGAAAUGUUAUUGUAUGGAUUUGGUGAAUAAUAGUAAUGAAUGAGUAAAUUUAGCCUUGGCAGUUUUGGGUUAUUGCAGUGGUGCAAAUUUGGAAAUUCACCAUAAAUUGUGGAAAUUGAAUUAGGGGCUGAAUAAAAUAUGAGGUUAAAUCCCAAUGAGUCUAGUUUCACAUAGAAGAAACGAUAUAUGCAAUCGAAAUUUAUAUUAUGAGAUAUUUAAAUUGUUGUAAGACAAAGUCUGAAUGACUUCGUGAUCCCCUGAUUUGAUUUGAGAAAAUCAUUAAAAAUUGUAUAAAAAUAAUUAUGGGUUUUAAUUUAUAUUAUUAAAAUCCUUAAUGAGUCUAUUCUCUAGAAAGAUAGAUGAGAGCAUUAUCCGAAUUCUGUACUAUGAGAAAAAUAAUUUUUAGUGAAGAGAGGUCAGAACUGUUGGACAACAAAAUAUGGGAAACUUUAAUGAAUAAACUGUACUAAUUUACUAAAUAAAAAAUUCUUAAAAUUUUAUGGGAGAAAGGUAUGUUAGUCUCGUUUCAAGGAAAAUUAACGAAACUUAAUUUUGAGUCUCGUAGCUCUAGAUAUAAAUGAAUUAGUAACUGUAACUCGGUAAAACAGCUUAACCUGAACAAAAGUAAAUUGUACAAUUAUGAUGUUUUACCUAAAAAAAACAUGUGGGUAAUUGCUUAUUAACUUCAUAUGGACUUACUAAGUAUAAAGCUUACCCUUCUCUCUACUUCUUCAGUUUUGGCAGAUCGGCUCGGGGUUGGAGAUCGUUGGAGGCAAAAUCACACUAUCAAGCUAUCAUUUUUGGGAGAAUUAAUUCAAAUAUUAGAAAUAUCAAGUGAGUGGCAUGUAUAGGAAGUUGGUUUAUGAUGUGUAUUAUUAUUAUGACUUUGACCAUACGUAUUGGUCUGCAUUGAGUCAUCGUAUAUGAUCAUGAAAUGUAGUCCUUAUCCAUUAUGGUUUGUAAGUUUAAUUAAUCAUGCCAUGUCCUAUGUUUUGAUGUGAUGAUAUAGUUAGCUUUGUUUGUUAUGCAUGAUUGGUAAUACAUCAGGUAAGUUAAAUGCAGGCCAGUGGAUCAUGAAUUAAAUGGAAAUGAGUAAUGUUGCCUUGAAUAUGAAUGUUUAAUGGACAAAUUGAUAACUACAUUAUGAUGGUAUAAAAUGAGAAUAAGAUUUAGCAUGUCUAGUUCUAGUUAAUGUAAGAAUAUAUAUUAUAUACAGGAUGGUAAGCAAAUAUGUUUAAAGUGAAUGAUUUGUUAUUGCAUGAUUAUGGAUGUGUAAGUGCUCAUUUAUGCCACGUUAUAUUUCUUUAAAUAUGAGUCUAUGCAUGUGUUCAAAAAGCUUUGAAUUAAAUGAAAUUUUAUGGCCCGGUUUUCGUCUAUGUGUAUGGUUAAGUCUGGUAAUGCCUCGUACCCUGUUCCGGCCUUGGAUACGGGUAAAGGGUGUUACAACUUGGGUGGUAGAAAUAUACUUGUCGUCGAAGCGAAUUAGAGAGGCGACUAUUCGUGAAAAAUCGAUUUGAAUGAUUAAAAAUAAGAUAAUUAAAAAAAAUUAUUUUUAAAUGAAAAUAUCAAAAAAAAUUAAAACGAGAGAGUUGAGAGAAGGAUGUGAAUGAAUAAAAAUAAAAUUUGGGGGUAUUUAUAGGGUAAAAAAAUAACCGUUGGUAUAUUUAAUUUUUUUUUACUGUUGGCGCGACAACAUACAAAAAGCUAUUGUUGGAAAGUGCGUCCAACUAAACGAGCUUUCGAAAAAGCACGUCUAUCUAGGCGCACUUUCCUAACACCUGUACAAAAAGCUUACCCGGCUGAACGUGCUUUCUAUUCAAUUCAACUUAUUUCUUUAAUUAAUUUUAAAAUCGGCCUAAAAACCUAAUUAAUUAAAAAAGUGACUUUUGGACUUAUUUUGCCCUAAUUAAUAGCCCUAAGAAUUAGUUAUUGAAAAAAAUUAUGCUUUUAAUUAGAGGGAAAAGUAUGAAAUUUAAAAUAAAGUGCUUUGGACUUUUUUUAAUACUAAAGUUAACCCAAUAAAUAAUAUUUAAAUUGUUUAAUUUGUCAAUAACAUUAAUGCUGUAUUUGGAUUGAACUAAUAUGUUGUUUAAAAGAUAAAAUAAAUACAAAACAAAUUAUGAUGUUACUAAAAUACAUAUAUAAUGAAAAUUUAGUAAAUAAUAAGUUUUUUAGACUUGCUUGCCCAAAUAGAAUAAAGAGAUAAAAAAACAUCCCCACAAACUGGAGGCAAGUAUCUGCAGCAAGUAAGAUGCAUUGAAAAAAAUAGUGUCUGCCUUAUUCUCUUGAAUUUUAUGGCAGUUAGGAGGGUUCUGAGUGUUUUGAUUUGAUCGUAGUUUUUUUAUUUUCUUAGUUUUUCUUAUUGGUUUUGCUUGGUGGUUUUUUCGACGCUUCUGUUUUGAUUACGAUUUUUCUGAUGUUGAUUCUGGCGGAUAAGACGUUUCUUGCUAGGCUUUUAUCUUUCAUUCUUUUCGGUGAUUUUUUGUCUGUUUUCUCUUUUCUUUAUUUUUUCGUGGGUUUCUGUGUGUAUCUGUUUAUUCUGGUGGCAUUUAUUGUCUUAUGUGUCUUUCUGGGAUUUUGAGUUGGAGUUUGUUUGAGGGUCCCACGGCGCUCAAAAAAAGUUUCUUUCUUUUGACUUUGCUACCUUCCAAUUGCAUCGUCUAUGCAUGUUUUUAGGGUUUCUGAAGGGUCAAAGUACUGUUUGGAGGGUUUCAUGUAUGCAGGUUUUUUGCAUGCUUUUGACUUGGUUUAUUAAAAGUGAUUGGUUGUUUUCGUUUUUGAGAAUCCGGUGUAAUUUUCUUUGUAUUUUUUUACGGGUUUUUCUUUUUUCUUUUCUGUGGUGUUGUUUUUUCUUAAGGCUGCAUUAGAGUGUAUUGCACUUCUUGGUCCUUUGGCUGGCUUUUCUGUUUGACAAGUCCUCUCGGUUCUGUUUUGGUUUUAGGUGUUGUUUUUGUUGUUUUUGUUUUUUUGGUUUUUCGCUUGUUUUGUCUUCUUUUCUUUUCUUUUUUUUUUUUUGCAGAAAAAUCCUUUCUUGGGUGGGUAUCUCGUCUGGUUCCUGCGUUGUGCGCAGUGUCCCCGUGUUUGUGCACGUUUGGCUAACAAAGGGAGGAAAGACCAGAGAUGGAUUCAACAAUAACGACAGAUAAGAUAAAUGAACUUCUGAGAAGCAAUGUAUAGGGUGUUCAGGUCACUUUGGUAUACAAAGGAGGAAGUGGAUUUUGUGGCCUUAAAAGAAGGGGUUGUUAUUGUUAAGUUCGAUUGCCUGGAGGAUCGUAACCGAAUCUUCAACCUUAUGCCUUGGUUAUUUGAUAAAUGCCUAUUCUCGAUGGUGCCAUUUGAGAGAGGAAAGGACGUCGAAUCAUAUGAUUUUGGGUGGUCGCCCUUUUGGUUAUGAGUUUAUAACAUCCCUUUAGAGCUUAUGGAUCGUCAGGUAGCUUUGGAUGUGGAGAAGGCUCUCGGAGAACUAAUGGCAAUUGAUUAGAAGGAUCAAAACGGAGGAUGGACAGAGUUUAUGAGGCUGAAAGUUAAAAUUAACAUAUCCAAACCUUUAAGGAGAAUUGUGAAAUUGGUCAGCAAAGACAGGGAGGAAAUAAAAUGAGUUUUAAAGUAUGAGAGGCUCAAGAAUUUUUGCUAUCUAUGUGGGCUGAUAGGACAUACCCUCUAAAAGUGUCAUAAUAAUGGGGAAGGGGAUAGGAGUGAUAGGUUAAACAUUCAGUAUAGGGCUUGGAUGAGGGCACCUUUGGUGACCAUGAAUCAAGACAGGGGCAUGAGAAGGAAUGGGGUUGAAAUAGUGGCGACUACGAAUCUUUCGAAUGAUGAUGGGAAAGAAAGCCAAACAAAUACAAAUGACGAUAGUGGGCAACAUAUUCAACAAGAAAAAGAGAAAGAUGUAGAAGAAGAUUCGAUAUCAACUUCACCCAUGGAGGAAAGGAGUCACAAGUUGACUAGGGGCAAUAUGGGACGUUUUAGGCACAAAGAAAGAGAAUGAGGAAGGGGAACGGAAAACACCCUGAUAAUAGCCCUUCAAAAUUUGUUAAAUGAAGACUGAUGGAAAGUGUCUAACCUUUAAAGGUAGUGGCUGGCGAUCAGCCCUGCUAGGAACCAUGAAGUUCAUUUGCUAGAACUAUCAUGGAGUUGGAAACCCUACGACAGUUCGUGAGUUGGAGCAACAGCUUGUUGCUAAUGUUUUUGAUGUUGUCUUUUUGUGUGAAACCAAAAUUCACUCUAAUAGUUUCUCUUGUAUUCGUUCGAUGUGUAGGAUGGAAGGAUGCAUGGCUAUCAACUCGGAAGGUAAGAGUGGGGGUCUUGCUUUAAUGUGGAAAGAAGGUGUGAAAGUUGAAGUGCAAAGUUAUUCUAGGUACCAUAUUGAUUCCCUGGUCUCAUUGGACAAGAAUGUUGUGGUUCGUUUUACGGGAUUCUAUGGUCAAACUGACCUAAACUUAAGAAAUCAAUCGUGGGAUAUGUUAAGAAGGGUUAAAAGAUCGGUUAAGGAAGGUUGGAUUGUUGGGGGGGACUUUAAUGUUAUCCUUAACAAUACUGAGAAGGAAGGGGGUCGCAAAAAGCCGAGAAAACCUAUGGAUGAGUUCGGGGACAUCCUGGAUGAACUGAAUUUGGUUGACGUUAAAACGGGCAAUGGAUGGUUGACGUGGUCUAAUAAUAGAGAGGGAGCAAAUCUCAUUAAGGAAAGGCUGGACAGGUUUUUGGUUUCAGAGGAUUUGAUUGAAAAGCUGCCUUUUAUUACUUUUAAAAUGGUGCUUCAAUCGAAGUCAGAUCACGAAGUUAUUUUAUUGGAUACGCUGGGUAGUCAGCUGGGGAUAAAGGGAGAGAUUAUAAGUCUAGCUUUAGGUAUGAGGUUUCCUGGGCUAAGGUGCAGGAAGCUAAGGAUAUUAUUACCCGCAUUUGGGCUGACAAGGAUAGUAAUAUUUUGAAUAUAAUAAAUAAUCUUAGAGAGGAGUUGGGUCCGUGGCAGUAUCAUCGUUAUAAGAGAAUGAAGUACAAGAUUCACGGGUUGGAAAGGAAAAUUGGUAAGAGUAUGGAUGGGCCUAUUAAUGAGAGGUCGUCAAACUUUCUGAAGGCUACUCGCGAUCAGUUGGGUCAUUUAUACGAGACGGAAGAAAGGUACUGGGCGCAAAAGGGCUAGCAUUCAGUGGCUCAGAGAAGGCGAUCGUAAUACUCGGUACUUCCAUGUGUGUGCUAUGGGCCGUAAGAAGAAAAACAACAUCGAUAAGCUUAAAGACAUGCAAGGGACGUGGCAUGAAGACAAAAAUGAGAUUUGCAGUAUUAUUUGGUGCUACUUCCACGAUCUCUUCAAGACAUCCAUUAUGCCGGAGGAGGACGUUGACCUGAGUUUUGUCCCGAUAUACAUUACGGAUGAUAUGAAUAGUUUCUUAAACAGUAAGUUUAUGGAUGAUGAAAUUAUGAUAGCUUUCAAGCAAAUGGAUCUCUGAUAAACCGUAAAUUAUACAUAUUUUUACCCCAUGUUUAAUGCAUUUUAUGGAUGAUUUCCCAUUAGAAUUGGUGAAUUCGAUGCUCCUAAUGCUUUAAUUUCAUGUUUUAUACUUAGAAGAGCAUAGGAGAGCGAAAGGAACGAGAAACGGGCCAAAAACAGAUAAUAGGGAGUAAGUUCCAAAGAAGCCGAUUGAUCCAUCUCAAAAGCCGGAUUCAUCAUCAAGACUGAAGAUCUCUCCUCAAUUUUCUUCAGGAGUUUUGGGUUUUCUUUAUGUUUUGUAUUCUUUAUUCUUCUGAGAUGUUUUCUUAUUUAGUUAUGAACUAAAACCCCUAAAUACCUAGGGGAAUGAAACCUAAGAUGAAUCUUGUUAUUAUUUUCUAAAUCGUAUGAUAAAUAUUUAACUGGUUCUUAAUUAUGUGUUCUUAGUUCUUGUUUUGAUAUCCCAAGAUACUAAUUCAAGAUAAGCUCUUAUUCAGAGGAGGAAUAGACCUUGUCUAAGAGUACAUUUGUCAUAAUUAAGCGGAGUUGAUUGCGCGCCUAGACAUAGGGUGACAAGAUUUUGCCGGUGUAAUGGCCUAAAUUUAAGGUUAUCGGAAUAGUAGUUUCGUAACCACAAAUCUGAUUUAAAGAGAAAUUUAUUCCAAUAUUUUUGCAUAAAAAUUUAUAUGAUAGGAAAAUCGUAUGAAAAUAUUGAUAGAAAAAAAAUUUACCGAUUCAGUGGUUAGUUAGAAAAAGAAAUUAUUGAAGAAAUUGGGUAAAAACAAGGUAUUGGGACCUCUAUCUCGUAAAACCGAGUCACAAAUAAUUUUAUAAAUAUUUAUGAAAUGUUAGUAAUGUGGUAUUAAAAUUUAGUUAGGAAAUUUUAAUGUUUGGGUAGUCAAUUAAAUGAAAAGGACUAAAUUGUAAUAGGUGUAAAAGUUGCUAGAAUGAUUAAAUAGCUUAAAAGUCUAAUGAGAAAGGAUUUAAAAGGCAAUUAGACCCAAAAUUUAUUUGGGCUGGACGGCAAGGGCAUGAAAUCAGCAGGAAAAUUGAUAAAUUAAGGGAAAAAUUGGAAUAUUGCAAAAUUAACUAAAUAAAACUAGGACUAAAUAGGAAAUAUCUCGAUUUCUCUUCAUUUCUCUUCAAUUACAGCAGCUAAAAACGCCAUAGGAGGGUUCUCUAAGCUGGUGUUCCAUAAUUUUUGCACCAAUUGAGUUAAUCCUUCCCUUUUCUUGUAAUUUUUGUGUUUCUAAGACUUUUACAACUAGGUCCUACUAUUAAAUUCAUUAGUUUUUGAUUUCAUGGAUGAAAUUGAAAGUCACCAUGGUUGAGUGCUGUAAUUUUAUGAUGAAAUAUAAUGAAAUUAAAGCUUUAAUUUGUUUAUGAGAUGAUUUUAUUAGGUAAUUUUAAUAGAAAUUAAUUUUUAGGACUUAAUUGUGAAAAUGCUUGGAAUUAAAGUCUAUUGCUGAAAUUCUGAUUCCUAAAGAUUGUAAACUAGUUUAAGGUGAUAGAAUAAAAUGUUAAUUGAGAAAAAUCAGCUCAAUUGAGAGGCUAAUGGAGUAGGGACGAAACUAUCAUUUAUUAAAAGCAUAGGGGAAAAAUGGUAAUAAACAGCUUGCACAAAAACAGUUUGGACAGCAGCAGUAGACUAAGUUUGAAAAAUCACCAUAAAUUGUAGAAAUCGAAUUAGAAGAUGAAAAAAAUAUGGAAUUAAAGCUUAUUGAGUCUAGUUUCUCAUAGAAGAAAUAGUGUAAGUAAUAGAUUUGUAAAUUUUGAGAUAUAAUUAAUUUUGUGAGACAAGGUCAGAAUGAAUUCGGGUUCCCCUGUUCUUACUUUGAAAAAUCAUAAAAAAUUGAAUAAAAAUAAUUUGGGGCUUAAAUUUAUAUGUAUAAAAUCCUGAAUGAGUCUAUUUUUAAAAGAAACAAACAAGAACAUUAUUUGAAUCCUGUAUGAAGAGAGAAUUAAUUUUUAGUGAAUAAGGUUCAGAACUAUCAGACAGUAGAACAAGGGUGACUUUAAAGAAUAAACUGUAUUUAUUUGAUAAAUCAAAAAUUCUUAAAAUUUUUUGAUAAGAAGAUAUAUGAGUCUAGUUUCAGGUAAAAUUAACGGAUCUUAAUUUAGAGUUUCGUAGCUCGAGUUAUAAAUAAUUUAGUGACUAUGACUCAAAUAGAUAACUUUGAAUAAACUAUAAAUAAUAAUAGUUGAAUUAUAGAGAAUGUUGCAUAUGAACAUGAAAUGUAUUAAAUUUAUAAUUAAAUUUAUUUAUUUAGAUCCAGAAGAUUCAAAUAUGAAGCUAGAUCGAGGAAAGGAAAAAAUUUGGGAUUAGUAGAUUUUUUUUGUUUACAAACAAGUAUCAAGGUAAGUUCAUGUAACUUGAAUUAUAUUCUUAAAUGCUUGAGAUUGUAUGUUAUUGAUGUGAAUAUGAUUUGAAUGUUCAUUGUAUGAAAAUUAAUGAAACAUUGAUAUAUUUGAUAAAAUGGGAAGAAAUCCCGGUUGAAUGAAAGGAAAAUUCGAUGGAUCUCUGAAAAGGAAUUGACGGUAAAAAGGAUCUGUAACACCCCUUACCCGAGACUGUUGCCGGAAUCGAGUACGAGGCAUUACUUAGCUUAUCUUACUAAUUCGGGGCAUAAAAAUUCGUUUUAAAAAUUAAUUUCACUGUUUACAGUAAUCUGUCCAAUCGCGCAGCAGUUACUAAAUUGAUUAUAACUCGAGCUACGGUACUCCAAAUUUAAUUUCGUAAAUUUUUCCUGAAACUAGACUCAUAUAUAUUUCUACCAUAAAAUUUUCAGAAUUCUUGGUUUGACCAAUUAGUACAAUUUAUUAGUUAAAUUCUCCCCUGUUUCUUCACUCGACUGUCCUGACCCCUUGGUACUAAAAAUAAAUUUUCUCAUUAUAGGAUUUUCAUAUGAUAUUACCACUUAUUUCUACAGAAAAUAGACUCAAUAAGGAUUCUACACAUAUAAACUACAACUCAUAAAUAUUUUUAUACCAUUUUUAGUGAUUUUAUAAACUCGGAACAGGGGACUCCAGAAAUAGAUCUGACCAUUUCUCACUAAAAUUCACAUAUCUUAAAAUAUAAAUUUCUUUUUGCUAAACCGUUAUUUUUAUAUAAAAAUAGACUCAAUAAUAUUUCAUUUCAUAUAUCAUUCACCCUCUAAUUCAUUUUAUACUAUCCUAGGUGAUUUUUCAAAGUUACGUCACUAUUGCUGCCUGAAUUCUGUUUCUUUGCAAAAUUUUACCAUUUUAUGAUUUUCAUACCUAAUUUAUCACUUAGACUUUUAUAACAAUAAUUAACUUCAUCCUUGACCAUUUAAACAACCAUUCAUCAUCAAAUACUUACACAUCAUUCUAUAGUAAAAUCAUAUUUACAAAUAUACAAAAUUACUAAAUUCCUAUACAUGCCAUAACUAAAAGAAAUGUUCACCACCACAAUUAGCUCAGAAUCGGCUUUGGAUGCUGAUUCAACAAUCCGACUUUGACCUAACCUGCGCACGGAAACAACCGUACGCUGAGUAUGGAAAUACUCAGUGGUAUUACCAUAAUUCGAAUUAAUAACAUUAAUCGACAAAUUAUAUACAUUUUAUUUAUGUCUACAAUUAUUCAUUAAUUAUCUCAUGCAUUAAAUCAACUUGAUAAUUAAUAACAAUAAGCUAUAAUUCAAAUCUUGUAUUUAAUUGUAUUCAUACCUUAUUUCACUAUCUCAAUUCCAUGGGAUUUUUCUUUACAUCUCAUUCCAAUAGUUCAUUUCAAUUCAUAUACAAUUCAUUUCAUUUAAUUUAUAUUCAAUAUAAAUUUUAUUGCAAUUUGUACUCACUAAUAUCAUAUAACAAAAUUUACUCUUUAUCAUAUCAUGAACUUUGGGUUCAUAUUUUUAAAUCUCUUAUCUCGAUUUUCAAAUUCUCACAUCAAUUCACAAUUUCACUUUUGUCCACAGCUUAUACUCUUAGCCCAAAGUAGAUUUUACAGAACACCCCGGAUAUACGGAACAAAUACAGAGAGCACAAAUGUGCUAAACAGAGAGCACUGACGUGCUAAAUAUCAGAGAGCACCAACGUGCUAAUAUUAGAGAGCACCAACGUGCUAAUAAUCAGAGAGCGCGCUAAAGUUCCUUAAUAAGUUCCUUAAUGGCAUGCCACUAAUAUCCUGGUAGUUCUAAAUUCCAUCUACUUGGGCAUUAAAUAUGAAUCUCAUUUAUUUAAAUAUUUUAUAGAAUUAUUUCAAAAAGGAUUUAUCAUUUCUUCGUCAUUACAAUUUACUACUUAUUCCGCAAUUCACAUAUAUCACACUUAUUCACAAUUUAAUUCACUUUUAUUCCAUUCAUAUAUAUAUUUUUAAUUCAUUUUCCACUCGAAUUCAUGUACAAUUCAAUAUCAAUAUUCAUCUUAUUAUUAUUUUUUUUACUAAACAUAUUAUUCAAAAUUCAACAAUUAUUAUUAAUAAAUUCAAUACCAAUACGUAUAUAUAUAUUCAUUCAAUUCUUUCAUGAUACUCACCUUAAUUUGCUUAUCAUACAUAUUAAUUUAAAUUUCAACGAUUAAUAAUUAAAUUCGAAUUAUAGUAAUACUAACCGUAAUUUCUCUCGAGUCACUCCUUGUCCACUUUCUCCUUUCCUUUCUCGGACAAUGACUCGUACACGACAUUAGCUACGUAAUUAAACAAUUAAAAAUCAUUAAUACACAAUUUCAUUAAAAUAUUUCCUUUUAUACCUAAACUUUACCCAAAUUCUAAUUUAAUCCCUUACCAAUACUAAUUUUAUUUUUCCCAAUCUAACUCUAUAUUCUCUCUUAAUUCUUACUAUAAAGUCAAUUUAAUUCCUCAAUUUCACCAUAAAUCCCUAAUUUCGGGAUUCUUUCAAUUUAAUCCCUAUCGAUUCAAAACUUAUAUUUUAUUUUACAAUUACAUUCUUUACUAACUUCUAACUUGAAAUUAAAUCAAUUUAACCCCUAACUAAACCUAUAUAUUUUUCUUUCUCAAUUCAUACCCUUAUUCUACCCAAUUUCUUGCUAAACUCAUAUUUAACUAUUUAAUUUUUAUCAUGUUUUCAUAAUUCCGAAUUUAUUUCAAAUUAAUCCCUAAAAUUCAAAACUUAUAGUUUAGUUUACAAUUCAAUCCUUUAUUCAAUUCCAAUCAAAAUUUCUAUCAAAUACAUCCCUAAUUUAACAAUUUAUUCAACAUGAACCAUGCUUAAUAAUCUACUAACUUCCAAAAUUUCAACUUAAAUCAAGUAGUAUUUUAUUCUAGGAUUUCAAAAAAAAUAUCAAAAUUAAGAGAAAAGGGGAUUAAAUUGACUUACCAAAUUACUUUGAACCUUAAAACCCCAAAUUUCCCUUUUUCUUUUCUUUUCUUUCUUUCUUUCCUUCCUUCCUUCUCUGUUUCGUUUUGCUCUCUGUUUCUUUCUUUCUCCCUUCUCUGUUUUGUUUUGCUCUCUGUUUCUUUUCUUUCUUUCUUUGUCAUAUAUAUAAUAAUAUAAUAAUAUAAUAAUAUAAUAUAAUAUAAUAUAAUAUAUUAAUAAUAAUAUAAUAUAAAAACAUAAUUAUUACUUACGCAUGUAUAAUAUAAUAUAUAUUUUAAAUUAAAAAUAUCUUAGAUUUUUCUUUUGUUAUGCCGCCUCAACUUUAGAAAAAGGCAUAAUUGCCUAUUUGGUCCUUUAACUUUUCUUUAAUCUAUAAUUAAACUUUUAUCCUUACUUCAAUUUAGUCCUUUUUCAUAAUUAACUAUCAAAGCGUUAAAAUUUCUUAACGAAACUUUAAUAUUAUCCUGUUGACACUCCGUAAAUAUUUUUAUAAAUAUUUACGGCUCAGUUUAUAAUAUCGAGGUCUCGAUAUCUCGUUUUCGACCCAAUUUACCUAAUAAUUUCUUUUAAAUCACAAAAUUCACUGAUUUAAAAAUAUUUCUAAAAUCACACUUAACUUAUAAUUAUUAAUUAAUAAAAUUUUCUAACUUUUUCAUCAAUUUUAGUGAUCUCAAAUCACUAUUCUGACACUACUAAAAAUUGGGCUGUUACAGGAUCUAGCCCGGACGGGUGAUCCUAUCUUGAUAUAGCUCUCCUGAAGAAUAUGUGUAAAAUGGAUUUAGCCCGGACAGUAAUCUGAAUUAGGGUCUGAAUUUAGCCUGGACUGGUAAUUCAGAUCCAAGCUCAUUAGAGUAAUUGUCGUUGCAGGGGAUUUAGCCUGGACUGGUAAUCCCGACAAUACUCUAUGAGUUUAUAUUGCAGGGGAUUUAGCCUGGACUAGUAAUCCCACUGCAAGGUUGAGGUUCGCGGAGUGGGCUCUCUGAAAUGGAAAUGUGCGCACAUGAAUAUGAAUUGACAGACCUGGAAUUGUGCACUAAAAGUGUACCUCUGAAAAUCCAUCGAAAUUCUGAUAAAUUCAACGGGAUAAAUAUGGAAAAAUAACAAGGAAAUGGAAAUUAUGAUUGUAACAGCCAAAUUUUUCAGUGGUGUCAGAAACAGUGAUUCGAGAUCACUAAAUCCGACGAGUAAGUUUAGAAAUUUUAACAAAUAAUAAUUAUAGGCCAAGCGCGAACUUAAAAGAAUUAUUUUUAAUUAGUGAAUUUUGUAAUUUUAAAAGAAUUAAUCAGGUAAAUUUGGUUGAAAACGAGGUAUCGAGACCUCGGAUUUAUAAAUCGAGCCAUAAAUAUUUUUAUAAAUAUUUAUGGAGUGUUAUUAAGUUAGUAUUAAAGUUUUGUUAGAAAAUUUUAACGUUUGGUUAGUCAAUUAAUUAAAAAGGACUAAAUUGAAAAUAGUGCAAAAUUUAUUAAAUUGUGAUUAAAUAGUUUAAGUGAUUAAAAAGGAGGGAUUUAAAAGGAAUUGGACCCAAAUUGUAUGGGCUGGACGGUUGGGCAAGAAAAUCAGCAAAAAAGACAAGGAGAAACAAGGGCAAAAUGGGAAAUUUUGCAAAUUAAACAUAUAAAACAAGACAAAUUUGAAAACUCUAGAGAUAUCAUAAUUUUUCUUCAGAAAAAACGCCAUGGGAGGUCUGAAAGCUGCUGGUUUUUCAUACUUUGACAUAUGUGAGUUCAAUUCUUACCCUUUUCUUUGAGAUUUUUAUGUUUUUGUGACUUUUACAAUUAGAUCCAAGUGUUUAAUUCAUUAGUUUUUGAUUUUAUUAACAAAAUUAAAAGCUAUCAUUGAUAAGUGUUAGCUGUUUAUGAUGAAAUAAAAUGAAUUUGAAGCUUUGAUUUUGUUGUUUGAUGAUUUUAUCAAGUAAUUUCAAUAGAAAUUGAUUUUAGGACCUAAUUGUGAAAAAGUUGUGAAUUAAGGUUUAGUGUUAAAAUUCUGAUUUUCAAAGAUUGUGUAAUAGUUUAGAAUGAUGGAAUAAAAUGUUAAUUGAGAAAAAUUAGCUUAAUAGAUGGGCUAAUUGAGCAAGGACUGAAUUGUAUGACCUUUGAAAUUUAGAGGAAAAAUGGUAAUAAACAUCUCGAAUUACAACAAUAUUGGACAGUAGAAGUAGACUAACUUUGAAAAAUCACCAUAAAUUAUAGAAAUCGAAUUAGAAGAUGAAUAAAAUAUUAAAUUAAAGCUUAUUGAGUCUAGUUUUUCAUAGAAGAAACGGUGUAAGUAAUGGAUUUCUAAAUUAUGAGAGAUAUAAUGAAUUUUGUGAGAUAAGGUUAGAAUGCAUUCGGGUUCCCCUGUUUUGACUUUGGAAAAUCACCAAAAAUUGAAGAAAAUUAAUUAGAGUCUCAAAUUUAUAUGCUUAGAAUUCUUAAUGAGUCUCAAAUUUAUAGGGGAAACUUAAAUGAAUAAACUGUACUAAUUGGCUAAACCAAAAAUUCUUAAAAUUUUAUGGUGGAAUGAUAUGUGAGUCUAGUUUUAUAUAAAAUUUACGGAUCUUAAUUUUGAGCUCUUUAGCUCGAAUUAUAAAUAAUUGAGUGACUAUGACUCGUGUGAACAGAUUGAUGUGAGCAUUAAUAAGUAAAUUGUGAAAUCGUACUUACAAGAAUGUUAUAUACAUUAAGGAUGUGGAAUGGAGAGGAGGAGGAUGAAAAAUAUAUAUGAAUAUUCAGUUAGCAUGGCUAAUUUGCAUGUUUUAAGCUCAUGGACUAAAUUGAAUAAAAGUAAAACUUUAGGGGGAAAUUUUGUAAAAAUGUCAAAAAAUGACUAAAUUGAAGGGAAUAAAUUGUUUUAUUAUCUAAAUUAAUAAAUUAAAUGAAAUUAUCAAUUUAAGAUUGGGUGAAAUUUGGGAAAAUAGUAAAUUGCCAAUAUGCCCCUAAAUCUUGGUAUUUCUGUAAUUUAGUCAGGUAGGUUCGGAUACCCUGAAUGAGCAUGUAAAUAUGAAAAUUUAAGUAUUGUAUCGUGUUUUAUAUGAUAUUUUGAAUUGAAUAUGUGAAAAGGAUGUUACAUGAAACAUGAAAAUCAAUACUAAAUAAUAUAAAUUAAUUGAAAUUAUUCUGAAAAUUUUGGUAAUGCCUCGUAUCCUAUCCCGAUCUCAGGUGCGGGUAUGGGGUAUUACAAUGAUAUUGAUGAGCUCAUCAAUCAUGGUAUAUAUUAUUGGUACAUGGAAAUUAUUGUACUAACUUGAAUGUUGAGUUUGUGCAUAUUAGGGUAAUAAUGCAUUGAAUGGAUAUAUGAAUGUUUAUUGUAUUGUAUUGAAAAUAUUAGGUAAGUAUAAUUCUUGUUACAUGAGCUUACUAAGCACGAAGUGCUUACCCCAUUUCCUUUUUUCCUGUUUUGUAGUGUUAAGAGCUCGGAGGUCGAAUUUGGUCGAAGACACAUCACACUAUCAACCUCAGGAUUUCGGUAUAUAAAGAAACUUUAUUUUGGAAAUUAAUGGCAUGUAUAAGCUAAUAAAGUAAAUGUUAACGUGAAAUGAAUAUAAAGUUAGCCAUUAGUAUGGUUAACAAACCUGGUUUUGGGUAUAUGAUGACGUUAUCUUAUAAAUAUGCAUGAAUUUAUCUUGAAAAUAUGUUGAAUUGGUUUGGUUGAAGUGGAUUGAUCUCGAUUUAAUAUUGCAGGGAAGGUUAGAUAUUUAUAAAGGGGGCUAUAUUGAAUUAAAAAAAAUCGUAAACUCCAAAAAUACCUCGUACCCUAUUCCGGCAAUGAAUACAGGUAGGGGGUAUUACAGCCGAAUUAGGGUGAAACCUCAUAAGGGGAUCCAUAAAUCGAGUUAAUGCAACCCUCGGGUGUUAAUUAGAGAAAAAUCUCAAUUAUUCAAUCUAAGGAUUAGACGUUGUUAAUCUUGAACAGGGAUAAUAACAUAACUUAGAGAUCUCUACGGAACAAGUUGAAUGAAUAAAUCGUCCGAUUCGGAGCCAAAAUAACAAGUAAAGUCUAGGUGGAUUUUUCCUUAGGUAUUGUCUUAAGUCAAUCGAUUUUCCCCAAAAGCAAUUCCCCAAUUCUUUUCAUUGUGAGUUCUUAGUUUAGAUAAUUAGUUAAUUAAAACAAAACCUCUUUAUUCUUAGGCUAGAUAAUAAAAAGACAGUCAUUACUAGUACUUUUAGUUCCUUUGGGUUUGACAAUCCGGUCUUGCUAAAACUAUACUACUGUUCGAUAGGUACACUUGCCUACAUCGCGAUAAUAGUUAGUUUCAAAAAUGAUUAAUUAUAAAUAUUUAAAACCUAUCACGAAAUAAUGCGAUCAAUCCCCGAAAAGCUCCUGGGGUGGAUGGGCUUCCGGGGAGUUUUUUUAAAGAAAAUUGGUCGACGGUGGGAGGAGAUGUUUUAAGGUUAUGCAGGGAUGUCUUACAAGGCGACCAAAGUGUGGAUUGCAUCAAUGAUACUUUAUUGGUCAUGAUUCCUAAGAUCAAGAAUCCCUGUGAGAAGACAAAUUUCCGCCCGAUAAGCUUGUGUAGGGUCAUUUAUAAGAUGAUUUCUAAAGCUUUGGCUAAUCGGCUAAAAGUUGUGCUUCCCAAUUGUAUUAGCCAAAAUCAAAGCGCUUUCGUCCCCGACCGGAUGAUUCAAUACAACGUCCUUGUUGCUCAUGAGCUCAUGCACCUCCUUCGGAGCUUCAAAAAUGGCCCUAAUAAGGGUUGUGUAAUCAAGCUUGAUAUGAGCAAAGCAUAUGACCGGGUCGAGUGGAUUUUCCUUGAGAAAGUGAUGAUAAGAAUGGGUUUUUCUAGUGUUUGGGUUAAAAAAAUAAUGCAUUGUGUUUGCACGGUCCGUUAUAGAGUUAAAUGCAAUAUUAACCUCAUCGAUCUCAUUGUCCCAGAGAGGGGUCUUCGCUAAAGGGAUCCCCUCUCCCCUUACCUAUUUCUUUUCUGUAUGGAUGUCUUCUUUUGCAUGUUGCUCAAAGCCCAAGAGAACAAAAAUAUUAAGGGCAUCUGUGCGAGUAAGAAUAGCCCUAGAAUUAACCAUCUAUUUUUUGCUGAUGAUGCUCUUUUGUUUGUCAGGAAUCAACACAGUGAGGUGGAAGCGUUCAUGAGAAUUUUGGACAAGUUUACAAAGAUGUCAGGUCAGAACAUUAAUUUGGAAAAAUCCAUGGUGUUUUUUAGCCCCAACACCCAUGUGACACAACGUGCUAUUUUGGGGGAACUCCUUUGUCUGAAAGUGGUGGAUAAGCUCGAUGGCUACCUUGGUCUCCCCAUCCUUACUACUAAAAAAAGGUCAAGCAUGUUUCAAAACAUCCUGGACCGUCUCGCGAGCAGAAUCAAUAGUUGGUCAAAACGCCUUUUGUCAUAUAGUGGCAAGGAAAUCUUUAUUAAGUCGAUUAUCCAAGCGAUUCCUACCUAUGCUUUUUCGGUGUUUUUGGCUCUUAAGAGGGUUUUAGAGGAGAUCCAAUCAUUGACGAGGCGUGUGUGGUGGGGCGGUGGGGAUAAGAAGAAAGGGUGGUACAUGCUACCUUGGGACCGGUUGUGUUACCUGAAAGGUAUGGGAGGCCUUGGUUUUAGGGAUAUUCGACUGUUUAACAUUACUUUGUUGGGUCGACAGGUGUGGCGUCUCAUUAAUUGUAGGGAUACUCUUUGCUAUAAAGUUUUAAGUGCUAAGUAUUUUCCUGACGGAGAUGUCUUUCAUCCUAAAAGUAUGGACAAGCCCUCUUUUACAUGGAAGAGUAUUGCUAAGGCUGCUAUGGUUCUUCAGGAGGGCUUUGGUUGGUUUGUUGGUAAUGGAAAAAGUAUUAGAGUUUGACACGACAACUGGGGUUUCGAAGGGCUGUCUGGUAAUUCCAUUUGUCUUGAAAAAGGGCAGGUCAAAGAAGAAAAGGUGUGUGAUUUGUUCAACUGUAGUAAGGAUGAUUGGAACAGAAAUAGGGUUCGGGAUAUCUAUGGUGAUAAUAUGGGGGACCAUAUUUGCAAUAUUCCCAUUAUUCAUAAUGGUCCUGAAGAUCGACGUGCAUGGUUUCAUAACCCCCACGACAUUUUUUCUUCAAAGUCUGCCUGCUCGUGGUUGGUGCUUAAACAGGUAGGUUUCGGACCUCACAGGAUUUUCUGGAAAAUCACGUGGAAAUUAAAAACCCUCCCGAAAAUUCGGGUUCUUUGCUGGAGAUUGGGCAUAAUAUUUUGCCUACGUACGAUAAGAUUUCCAGAUUUCGUAAUGGUUUUGACGAUUCUUGUCCGAGGUGUGGUAAAGAUAUGGAAACCCUUAUUCAUGCAAUGAAGGACUGUCAGAUGGCUCGUGAAGUGCUUGAGUAUCGUGGGCUUAAUAAUAAGUUUUUGGUCGGGAAUUACUCCAGGUGCAUUGACUGGAUCGAAGACAUGGCGCGAGAUUUGGAUUAUAAGGCGGUCUCUGACCCCAUAACCGUCCUUUAGAAUGUCUGGAAUAGUAGAAAUAACCGGAUCUUUAGGGGUAUCGAGGACGGGGCCAAAGUGACCUGGGAAAGAGCAGCAGCUUUGAGCAAGGAUUUUCGAAUUUUUAACCUGCUGGAGGAGCCAAUGUUGCCUAAGAAAGCUAAGGAUAAAGUUUGGAGGAAACCGCGAUGAUCAAGAUUAACUUUGACGCCUCUGUUUUUGGAAAGAAAGUGUUUUUCGAGUUGGUUGCCAGAGAUUCUGAAGGUUUUGUUCAUGGGGGCGGAUGGGGGUUGUGGAUAAGGAGAUGCAUAUUGAGAGGGCUGAGAUGCUGGCCAUGGAUGAAAGUUUAAAGUUUGCCCGGUCUAAUAAUUGGACUGCCUUGGAGUUGGAAUCUGACUGUGCCAGCCUAGUGAACCGUUUUAAAAAUCAGAGCCAUGAUUUGACUAUGCUAGGUCAUCGUCUGCGCGAGAUACAGAGGCAAACUCAUUGUUUUAGUUAUUUUACGUUUAAAUGGGGCCCGCGUUGUUGCAAUAAAGUGGCCGAUUGCCUUUGUAGUUGGGCUAAGACUAAUGCUUGUAAUAAGGAUUUUAAAAUGGACUAUCCUGUGGAGGUCCAUGAUCUUGUUUUGAAUGAUGCUAUAAAUUGAGUUUUGACCGUCGGGUCUUUUUAUCAAAAAAAAGAAAAAAAAAAGUAUCUGCAGCAAGUCUCGACAGUGUACAACAACAUUCCAUCGAAGGUAAAGUGGAGAUGGUUGAAGACGAGCUGCAUCAAGUAUGGUGAUGUGGCGGAUGCUUUAAUCCCUACAAAAACAGGUGUAAAUGGAUCAAAAUUUGGGUUUGUAAUAUUCUAUAAUCUCGAUGAAGCAAUGGGUGUAGUUUCGAGGUUGAGUGGUGAAGUGAAGUUGGCAAGAUUUCAACCAAGAAAUACUACUGGAGAAGGAAAACGGCACAAGAUCGAUUUGGUCAUGAUGCUGGGAAACAUGUAAAACUGAACCAAAGUGGGUUAAAAGAAGAUAGCUGACCAAGUACCAAGUACUGAUGAUAACAAGCAAUGGAGGAAGCAAAAUCUGAAAGUGAUAAGGAGAAGAACGAGAAACGUUUGGUGGAUGAAUCAGGAAAGAAGGAAAAAGAUACGAUAAUGAAGGAAGUAGGCCGUUCUUGAUAUUUUUACACCCUAGAGAAAACAAUAAAAUGAUGUUUUAGAUUUAUUAAAAGUUAUUUACAUCGCUUAAAAGUUAGUCUCUUAAAAAAAACAUUUUAGACCCAUUAAAAAUUGAUAAAAAAUUUUCUUCGCCUUUAAAAGUUAGAAAUGUUUAUUUUGGCCGAAAUAAUAUUUUAAAUCAUUUUUAGCUUUUAUGUUUUGGGCAGCCACACUUUCAGACGACAACAGAAUUGAGCUUGGAAGGAAGUUAUUGGUACAGUAAGUAAUGAAAAUCUACACUAGAAAAAAGUUUAGCGGUAAAACAAGUCAACAUUUCACAGUUAAUGAAAUUCAAAUGAAGAUAGAGAAACACCGCAGAUAGGAGGAUUUCAGGUAACGUGUUCUUUAAAAAUGAAGAGAUUAUUUUCAAACUGCAGCAAAGGGGAUGGGAGGCCUUUUCUAAUAUUUUUAGCUCUGUGGAGAGAACCUGGAAAUUAAAAAUACAACUCUUAUUUUGGGUUACCUUUACAAGCAUGGAAUAUUUCCACCUUCCAGCCUUUGGGGAAAUUUCAUUAGGAUCGACAGUGACACUAGCAAUAUACAAUCAUUUAUUUUACCGGAUGAACAUACAAAUUAGUACAAAUAUAAGGGAGAAUAGAAUAGCUGAUAAAAUUGAAGGUGCGAAAUAAAGAGCACUUUGUAAGAGUAGCUGAGAUUGAUCAAGCAGUAAUUCCUAGUAGAUUUUAUUGCUGUGGGAAUGAGGUGAUGAUGUCGAGUCGAGAAGCCAUGAUAUAAAUGAAGAUCCAGCCAAAACAAACAUGGCGAAUGAUUUUCCGCAGAAUGCUUCAAGUGAAGAUGAAGGGUCGCGAACAAAGGUUGACGACGAUAAGCUGGACUGUUCGGGGCAUAAAGUCGACAAUUUCAUAGGGAAUACUAACAACAAAUCUAAAGUUACGGCUGAAAAUUUCAAGCAAUUGGAAAAAAUAAAUGUUGAACAGGUGCACAUGAGAGAAGAUGGCUAGAGACAAUUAAUGCUAACGGCGGGUAAUUGGAAAAUAUUACUAUUGACAGGCAAGUUUUGUCGGAUAUAAGAGAAUCUGUUGAAUUAUGGGGUGGUGAUGGAAGAAAGUCAAAUAUUGACAUGGAACGGGUGACGUUGCUUAGUAUAGAUAACAUGGGUGUAAACGAGACAGUUGAAGUAGAAGUAAGUAACCGGGACAAGGAAGGUGAGUGUUGGCAAGUCCAAUGUCAAGAUGGAUCGGACACUAGCGUUGGGCCAUUCAGAUGGGAAUCAAGGUUCCGUUGAAACCGUUGAGGUGAUGGGUAGAGAUAAUACAACUGAAGGCAAGGAAUUGGUUGAAAUUACGAUGAGGAUAUUGAAGAGUACAUAGCCAAAGGAUGCAGUAAAAGUAAAGAAAAUUGAGAAAGAAGAAACUAACGGCCAGUGGUGAACGCAUUCCGACUUCAAAAACAGGAGGAAGGCGUUGAAGUUGGGUAAGAUUGUGGGACUAAGUCUACAAGUUGAUGGAGAUGAGGAUGGAGUUUUGAGAGAUUUGGCAGCAAUAGAGUUAGCUUUGAAGAAAGUUUGAUUUUGUUUUUUCUUUGGUGUACCUGUCAGUAUCCUCAAACUUUCUUCUCUAAACCUCUCCUAAUGUUUCCCAUGAAUGCCCGGCGCUAGCAUGCAAACUAUCUUAUGUUUCUCUAAAAUAAGAAACUCUCUUGAUUUUGAAUGCUGUUUGGGUUCAUUGUCAAAUUCUCAUAGACAGAUGAAACCACGGUGUUUGAAAGUUAAAUGAAAGUAAUGGAGAGCAAAUAAAUAAAUAAAUAUUAAAUAAAUUGAAGUUGGAGAGUGACUUGAGGUGAGCAUGACCAGGCCAGACUCAAUUAAAAAUUUAGAACUGUUUGUUAGGUCUAGAUCUGACCCAAAAAAUAGGCUUAAAAUGUUACAUUUGCUCGAUUUGAAUAAAAAUGUUAAAACUCGGGUUCAACUCGGCCCGGCCAUAUUAAUUUUUAUAUUAUUUUAAAUAAUAUAUAAUACAUCAAAAAUACUAAAAAUAUCAAAAUAAAUAUUUCCUAACAAAUUGAAAAUAAAUUUUAAAAUAUAUAUAUACUUAAAUAACACUAAAAUAGAUGCAACUUAAUAAACAAAUAUCUCUAAAAUAAUAACAAAAUUAACAAUAAAAUAAGUUUUAUACAAUAUCCACACAAUAACAACAAAAUAAUAGUAACAUAAUAGUAAAAUAGUAGUAAAAUAAAGAGAAAAUAAUACAAAAAUAAUAUUAAAAAAACAGAUCUUUUUUGUCAUUUAGUGGAUCCGGGCUGGGCUCAAGCAAAAAAUUUAUUACCCAAGGCCCGGCACAUUUUUUAAACGGGCUUUUUUUUUUAUCCAAACUCAUUUUUUGGAACUAUAUUUUUGCCUAAAUCAUUCCACAUUUCGAGCGGACUUUCGCAGGUCUAGGUGAGUUGCAUAUAGAAAUAUUAAAAAAUUGAUAAAAAAUAGAAUUCAUUAAUAUGAAGUUAUUUGAAUUAAAUAUAUGUAAUAUUAUUUUACAUGAUAAUAUUAUGAUUAUAAUAAAAAUUACUAUAAUUGGUGCUCAUGCACAGAGUUUGCUUUCACGGUAAAAAAAAGUAUAAUAACAGUCAAAUUUUAAACCUAUUAGAUUAAAAUAAAUAAUUAUAAUGCAUUUUAUAAUAUUAUUUUUAAAAAAAUUAUUCUUAGCCAAUUUUAAACAAUAAUAUUUUAAUUAAAAAAUAAUUUUGAAAAAAAAAAAGCCACAAAGAAUGAAUAUAUACCAUAUUAUAUUAUAUUAUUUAUGAUAUGAUAUGAUUUCUUAUAAAUGUUUCGAACAACAUUAGUUACCAUUUAAUCCACAAAGUUUUAUUUAUAAGUGUAAAAAAAAAACCUAAAAUACGAAAGUUAAUUUUCUGUGGAAUGUGAAAAGAUUAAAAAAAUUAAUACUUAAUUUACAAUUCAGCGUUUAAAUUAUUUUUAUAUAUUAAUUAGUUCGAUACUUAAAAUAUCAAUUUAUCUAAAAAAUAUUUUAGAAGAAUUUCAAAGCCCGAGAUUUUAGAAGAAUAAGAAAUCGAAGAUUAAAACACUAUAAUUUUAUAGAGCAAUUAAUAUCCAUGAAAUUUAAACAAAUUCUCACAUCCGUAGGGCACUCUCCACCAUGAAACAUUUUAAACUAAAUAUGGUCAUUUUUUCGGUUUUACCUAAUUCAUUUUUUAAUAUAAAUAUGGAACUUCAAUAGCAUAUUAUUCAAGCCUUUGCUUAAGGGGCCAUAAGUGAUAAGCAAUAAACAACCCCACAACUUCAAGUAAGGUCAAGUAAGGUUUUCUUCUUUCUUACUUUCUUUUCUUCAAAGGAAAGAAAGAGAGAGGAAGAUACUUUUCUUGAAACAAAAAAAGUUGUUUAAAAAUGGCAAAUAAUGCUAUUAUUGGUAUCUGUGCGGUGUUCCUGGUGGCCAUGGUGGUAGCCGUGGUGGUGGGUGUUACGCACAUAAAAAAAAAGAACGAUGGUGAAGAGAUAUCGAGUUCGAACAAAGCUGUGCAAGCCCUAUGUCAACCUACUAAUUAUAAAGAGACGUGCCAGAAAAGCUUGGCGUCGUCAAAUUCUAGCGACGUUAAGGAGCUGAUAAGGACAGGUUUCCAAGCCGGGCUAGUUGAGAUAAAGAACGUGUUGGCCCAUUCAGUGACGGUCCAAGAGUUGGCCAAGGAUGAGAACAACAAAGCGGCACUUGGUGUUUGCCAAGAGGUGUUGGACUUAGCCAUUGAUGACUUUCAAAAGUCUUUCGACGUGUUAGGGGAAUACGACAUGAGCAAGAUCGGAAAAUACCUUUUGGAACUGAAGACCUGGCUAAGCGGUGCAUUCACGAGUCAACAGACAUGUAUAGACUCAUUCGCGCAAUCAAGUAACGAAUCAUCGCAGAAGAUGCAAUCAAUCUUGAAGACUAGCAUGGAGAUCACUAGCAAUGCUUUGGCGAUGCUUAAUGGGUUAUCCACCAUCGUAAAGGAACUUAACAUUCCAAACGUCGGCAACAUCGACAGCACGGGGUUCAAUCGUAAGCUUUUGUCGGCUGAGGAUAUGCCUGAGUGGAUUAGUCAAGCUGACCGAAAACUCCUUCAAGCAAAACCAAUGGAUUUGAAGCCUAACGUUGUGGUUGCUAAAGAUGGUAGUGGGAAAUAUGAUACUAUUAACAAGGCAUUGGCUGAAGUCCCCGUGAAAAGUCCCGAUCGAUUUGUUAUUCACAUUAAGGCUGGUACUUACAAGGAAAAAAUCAACGUGACCAAGCAGAUGAUUAAUGUUGUAUUCAUCGGUGAUGGCCCAACCAAAACCAUCAUCACAAAUGACAUUAGCGUUGCUAAAAAUCCACCGGUUAGAACAUACCGCACUGCAACUGUUGGUAAGUAGUAUUAUAGACAUAUAUAAGUUUUGGUGGUGUGGUGAGGUGAGGUGGCUAACUAAUAUAUAUGUAUGUAUGUUUGUGAAAUAUUUUAGGUGUGGAUGGGGCUGGUUUCAUGGCCAAGGACAUUGGAUUCGAUAACUCAGCAGGACCCGAAGGUCAUCAAGCAGUGGCUUUUAGGGCAACUGCUGAUAGGGUCAUCAUGUUCAACUGCCAUUUCACUGGGUACCAAGACACUCUUUAUGCUCAUAGAGAGAGACAGUUAUAUACCAACUGUCUCAUUACUGGAACGGUGGAUUUCAUCUUCGGGGAUGCGGCGAGCAUUUUCCAGAACUGUAUGCUCAUCGUGAGGAAGCCAGGGCCUGGCCAAAAUUGCAUGGUUAUUGCACAGGGCAGGAAUGAUCUUGGAACAAACUCAGCCAUUGUGCUUCAAAACUGCACCAUCUCGGGCGCCCCUGAUUACAUCCCAGUGAAGGAUACAAACAAGGCAUACUUGGGGCGUCCCUGGAAACAAUUCGCUAGGUCUAUCAUAAUGCAAUCUCAAAUCGACGACAUCAUUCAACCAGAGGGUUAUGCCCCAAUGACAGGUACCAUAGGAAUAGACACUUCUUUCAUUGCCGAGUUUGGAAAUAGGGGACCCGGUGCUGAUACCAGCCGUAGGGUAGCAUGGAAAGGUAUAAAAAAGAUAGAUAUAAAUGAAGCCAACAAAUGGACUCCUCGCAUCUAUCUUGAAUCUGAGACUUGGAUUCCGAGUUCCGGCGUUCCCUAUAGUCCCAACAUGGUCCCUGGAGUUUAAACAGCUUAUUAUUGAUACCAACGCCAUUAGUAUGCUUAUUAUCAUAUCAUUGUUCUAAUUAUGUCGUUUUUAACUAAUUAAUUAAACAGUUUUUUUAAUCUUUUAUCUAUCUAUGUAUAUAUGUUGAAUUCUUUGGUUUCCCAAUUGUUGUUUCCACUCACUUGAUGUUUGCAAAACCCAAAAAUUAAGUCAACAUUUAAAUAUUAUUGAACUUAAUUUAAUAUAAUUUUUUAAAGAUUAUUUGGAUUGAUAAUGUUGUUUCCCUAAUGUAGACACCUUCCUUUAAAUAGAUUUAAUAAAAUGAUUAUUAUCAAACUUAAUUACAAGAUUUAAUAAAAAUAGUUUAUUAAGCAACAAUUACUAAUAUAAUAUUAAAAAUUAAUAAAAACAAUUAUAUUAUAAAAAAUCAAUCUUAUUUUUUUUAUAUAUAUUUUAUAUAUGGACUUAAGUAAGCAUCCCGCUCAUGGAAUCAAAGAUUUGAUCAAGUGGUAAAGAUUUUUUAACUUGAGCAAAACAAAGAAGAACAUUGUGUUUAUAAAUAUUUAGAGGAUGAAAAGGUGGUCUUUCUCUUUCUAUAUGUCAAGUGAAAUUCCACUAGUUGAGAAUAAUGUAGGGAUAUUGUAACACCCCAUAUCCGUAACCCAAGCCGGGACGGAGUACAAGGCAUUACCUACUUGAUCUCGUACAUUCAAUCCAUUUUAAGUCACCAAGACUCGGUCCAAUUUAAAACAUUUUCAAUUUCUACUUUAAACCUCUUAAUAUAGGCCUAUGAGGCCUAGAUCGACCAUUGGAAACCGUUCGAAAUUUUUCCAGGUCCUUAUCCAAUCUAUGUAAACUUUGCAUUUAAAACAGGGCACACGCCCGUGUGGGAAGGUAACACGCCCGUGUAAUCAUCCUAACAUGGCCGUGUUGAUGACCCGUGUGUUUUACACGGCCUAAACAUCUAGGGACAUGCCCGUGUCCCUUACCCUUGUGGCCAAUUAUUUACACCAUUUUACAAAAUUCAAGUGUAGACUUCACACGGCCUAGACACACACCCGUGUCCCUGGCCCGUGUUGCUCACACGGCCUUGACACACCCGUGCCUUAGCCCAUGUGAGAAAGCUUGAGUAUUCUAUUUCUGACGUCAGCAUACCCACCAUGUCACACGGCCAUAGCACACGCCCGUGUGCUAGGCCAUGUUCUCCAUACGGCUGAGUCACACAGCCGUGUCUCUGCCCGUUUGUUUAUUACCAUGCAUACUGACUUGAAAUUUUUACGUGCAGGGGACACACAGCCUCAUCACACACCUAUGGGGCUAACCGUGUGUCACACACGGCUUAGACACACGCCCGUGUGCCUACCAGUGUGGACAAAAUAAGGCUAUUUACCAAGCCUAUUUGCCACCCCUACCGAUAUAAAUUAACACAAACUCAACCAACACCAAUUCUAGCCUAUACCAUACAACCACUUCAACUACUAUAGACAUUCUUUCAUAAGGCAAUUUACUCAAACCAGGAAAUAUCAUCUUUGCAUAUGAUCAAAAUGAGUGAUAGUCAACAUCAAGGCUAAAUACAAAGUGUGGGGCUUAUCCCAAGCCUACACCUCUAACCAAUGCUUAAGGGCACAAAAUAAUCAAAUCUAAGCCUUAUACAUGCCAUAUUCAAAAAUAUAAAUCCAAUUAUACCGAAGGUUUUGGACGAUAGUGUGAUCGAUAUCUCUGACUCCAAGUGAUCCUUGAGCUAAUUAGGCGACACUAUAAGAAAAUGGAAAGAAAAAGAGGGUAAGCAUAAAAGCUUAGUAAGUUGCAUAUAAAUAAACAUACAACAACAAUUCAUCAAUAGUUGUCAUGCUCAUAACACAAGGAUAAGCAUAAGUAUGACUUACUCAUUACCACCCAUACAAGUCAUGUGCUCUCCAAUGAGCUCAUUUCUCAUAUGUACCAAUUUGGUACUUGUAUCACUUACAACAUGGUUAUGCUUCCAUCAUUAACUAGCAAGCAUACUUGCACCAUUGAACCAAUGGGUACACUACUGGUCAUUCUAUAAACCUUGAUCUAGGGAUAAAGUGCCGAUGCUAUGUCCCAGACAUAGUCUUACACUGGCUCAAAUCUCAAGUCGAUGCCAUGUCCCAGACAUGGUCUUACACUGACUAUCAUUAUCGAGGCCGAUGCGUGUCCUCGACACGUCUUACUCUAGCCCUCGUAUCAAUGUCGAUGCCAUGUCCCGGACAUGAUCUUACACUGGCUCUCAUAAUGUGGCCGAUACAUUUUCCAGACAUGUCUUACACUAGCUCACAUAAGGGACCCGGAUGUCUCAGUUUGAACAUCCGGUUCAUUUCCUAGUAUUUUAAAGGAAUCUCUGCCAUCUCAUUGUUCUUAUGCAUUCUCAAUACUUAAUUAAGCAAUUCAUGCUAUAUCCAUUCCAUAACAAUUAGACACCUAUUUUAUUGAUAUAGUUGCAUUAUUUACAUACAACUUACCUCAGUUUACAAAAUGUACUCGACUAGUUGGUUUAGUCGAUUUGCUUGGCUUUCCCCUGGUCUAGAUUCGGUUUUUGAAAAACUUGAUCUAGAAUAAAAAAUGCGGUCGUUUAGUCACUAAUUAUAAUUAGGCUACUGUAAAUUCACAUAUUUGAUAAAAUGACCAUUUUGCCCUUAGACUUUGGCAAAAUGACCAUUUUACCCCUAUGAUCGAAAAUUAAUUUUUAUCAAAUUUAUUCGUAUUUCAAGCCUAGCCGAACUCUUUCUACUCUUGUAGAAACCCCAAAAUCCCACUAUUUCACACACUUAUCACCUAUUUUGCAACUUAUGCAAAAUAGCCCAUUUAGGUGUUUUCAUGCUAACACCUUUCACAAAAGUUGUUAAGAAAUCUUCUAAGACUCAUAUUCUUCCAUAAAAACUCAGAAAACAUCACAAGUCCAUCCAUGAAAAAACCCUAAACUCUUAAUCAUUUUUCAAAAUAGUCCCCUCAUAUGAAAGCUCAUGCUUUAGGGGUUCCAAAAAUAUAAAAAUCAUCAACUAAGGACAUGGAAAUCACUUACUUGUUGAGGUGAUAAGUUGCUGAAAUUUCAAAGCUUCAAAACCCCUCUUUUUUUGAUAUUUUCGGUGGAGAGAAGGUGUGGAGAAGAAAGAAAAUAAUAGCUAAGCUCAUAGGUAUUAUUUUAUCACAAAAUUAUGUCAUCAAGCCACCUAAUAUUGACCUUUUUUACUAAACUUGUCUCCUAUGGUCGGCCACCUUUUUUCUAGGGUCUAAUUUCUCUUUAAAGGCCCUCAAUUUUAGUUCUCUAGCUAUUUAACACAUUUGGGGUACUAAAAUGCAACUUUUUCCCUUUUUGCGAUUUAGUCCCUUUUAGCAAUCGGGCUCGCAAAUAUCAAAAUUAACUCACCAAAUUUUUCAUACACUAAUAUAAUCAUGUUAUAACCUUAUAAUAAAAAUAAAAAUAAUUUUCCAAACUUCAAAUUUAUGGUCCCGAGACCACUGUUUCGAUUAGGCUCUAAAUCGGGCUGUUACAGAUAUUGUCAUCGUUUAAACUAUAGUUAACCCAACAGUUUAGGAUGAAGGACUUGGAAGAAGCUAAUUUUGUUCUCAGUAUUCAAAUUCUAAGGGAUUGAAAGAACAAAGUGAUGGCACUAUCGCAAGAUUCACACAUAGGCAAUAUAUUGUAGCGCUAUGUUAUAACUGAUUCGAAGAAAGGUAAUCAAUCUUCUAAUAUCGAGAAUUCACCUCUUUUUGAGGGAUUGUCCUAAGAUAUCAGAAGAAAAUGAGAACAUAAGAAGGGUUCAUUAUGCUUCAACAAUAGGAAGUCUCAUGUAUGCUAUGUUGUGCAUGCAAUCGGAUAUCUAUUUUACAGUAGGUUUGGCGAGUCGAUAUCAGGUGAAUCCAAGACUAAGACACUGACAAAUAGUUAAUACAGUUAAUAAUGAUCAAUUAAUAGAAAAUAUUAGGUUUUGCUGCUGGACUCGUCCGUCAGCUUAGUCAAGAUGCAUUGAUAGGCUACUUGUAGUUCAUUUCUAUUUGUAUUAGUCAAACACCCAUCAUGCCAUUCUAUCUAUCUAGGAUUGUUUCUUUCUCUAAAUUUACCUUUUCAGCCUACUUUAAUGACUGACAACUCUUUUCAUAGGUCACAAUGAUUGAUGAUUUGCAAUGCCACAUGAUUACACAACCACAGUAGCCUGCACUUAGCAUUUUUUGCCUCGUAAGAAAGGUGAAAAGUAUGGUUUAAACUUGUCACUUAUCAUGUCUCUACUUGUGUCGUUGCUCCAAACUGGCUUUUCAGAUAUACUCGAGGUAAUGGUUGGCACAGGUGUUGCUAAAUGAAUUAGCAAGGGAAUUUGUACUAAACUUCCUAAAUACCAGAUCUGAAAAAUUUUAAGUUCUUCAAUUCUUGGUUUACUGCAUUGCUUCAUUCGUUGACGACAUGUCUCUUGCAAUGUUAGUGCACUCUGCGAUGCUUGCCGUUCAACAUCUAUACUUGUUAACUGCCCAACUUGAUUGAGUCAUUCUAUAUAAGCAUAAGUUCUAUCUAUCUAUCUAUCUAUAUAUAUACAUAUUUCCAAUUUUGUUUAACAUCCAGAAAAUUCCUUGACCUUCAAAUCCCCAAGGUUCAUGGUUAAAGUCUAAAGGCAUGCAAAGCCUAAUCAAUUCAAGUUUAUCAAUUGGGUCUAUUAUUUUUUUCCAUUUUUGCCUUAAAAAUUCUUGUAUCAAUAGACACUCUUCUACUAGCUCGACCUUAAUUACCAAUGUUUCUAUUGGUUGAUUUGCAUUAUGCUGCUACUGUAUUUCAAAUUUAUUGGUACAAUCCAAUGGUUCUAAGACAAUGAGUUCCAUGAUGGUCUAAUUCUUUAGCUUGCUAGCCAUUUUCCCCACUAGCUCUAUGUCUUCCCCUUCUGUAGUGGUGUUCAACUCAUUUAGAUACUUUUUUGUCUGCUGAUAUGAGUAAUAGUCUAGGAGUUCUCCUUCUUCACAAGCGUCUAUAAUGUCAUUCUCUUCUUUUCUCAACUUCGGACUUAGCACAUCAUGGUACCUUUCUGAUGGUAUAUCAAUAUGGUUGUUAUUAUCUUGGGAAAGAUCUAGGGUUUCUCUUCGAAGUUGACUUAAUUCGAGUAAGAGUAAUCAUUGAAUCUCUUGGAUCUCCUAAUCUUCAUACACUCCUUCUUCGUAAGUAUUUUGAUCAUAAUCAAAGUCUUCGUCGAACCACGUAUAAUAAAAAUAAUCCAUGGCUUUGUGCUGACUGGUUGUUUUGUGCCUAGGAUUCCUAAGAAUAAACAAAUGUAAUUAACAAAAUAAUUUGAAAGUUGUAACUAUAAACCACAAAUUUCCUAAUUAUUCUUUUAAAAUGAAAAAAAUUAAAAUCAAUCUAGUGACAUUGCCUCCCCGGCAACGGCGCCAACAACUUGACCGCCUUUAGACGUACUAACGCCCAGAGUGUGAAUACUGCAAUAAAAUAGAUAAUUACGAUAUAGUAUCAACAACUAUAUGGGUCGAGUUGUAAUAUAGUUUUUACAAUGAAGUAGGUGAGUACUCCGAUGAUCGUACCCAAGAAAAGCAAGUGUUAGAUUAAUUCUAACCUAAAUACCAAAAGAUCUAAUUAGCACUUUAAAUAAAUUAUAAUAUGAAAGUAUAUAAAAAAGGGUUUUUUAAGGUUUUUAAUAAUAAUAAAAUCAAAUAACAUAAAAGAAAUAAAACUUGUUAGAAUUAAGUGACCCAAAUUCUUAUUUAAAUAAAAUACGAUGGAAAAUAAAAUAAAAGUAAAAUCCAUAUAGAACUAGACUUCUUUUAUUUUAUUUUAGAAUAAGGUUUUUUAAACCUUAUUAAACUUCAUCUAUUUUAUAUUAAUUAGUGUAACAACCCUCGCUCGCAUCCGACGCCGGGACGGGGUUCGAGGUGCUACCUGACUUUUACUAACACUUCCAUACUAAACAGGGCCAUGAAAUCUCAAAUAAUUAAAAACUUUUAUUUUCACAUACAAUCUGUCCCAUAUACGGGCUUACGAGGCCCAAAACAUACAUCCGGAGUGGUUCGGGACCCAACCGAGAACUCAUGAAAAACUUAAAAAAUCUCUUGCAUCAAGGCUUCAUACGCCCGUGUGGGUAUAGAGCACACGCCCGUGUGCUAGGGACACACCCGUGUCCAAAAACCUGGACAAAUACAAGGCUAUUUUCCAAGCCAUUUUGUCACACUCACAAUAGAUACACGCAUGCUUAUACAAUAACAUACAACAUGGCAAAAUUAGGUACUUAAACAUUCCUAACAUGUCAUGAUUAUGGCAAUUUCACAUGCAAUAGAUAUCAUAGAUUUUACUCACAUCUUUACCACAUUCAUACUAUAAUCAUUAUAAACUCAUCACAUAAUACCAUAGCACAUGCAUGCAUAAUUAAAAUAGAUUUACAACCCCAUAAUCAAAAUAGGCCAACACAUAUGAUUAAAGCCAAUCACAUACUCUAAUAUUUAAACUCCUAUACAUGCCGGAGGCUCAAAGUACUUGAAAUCACUACACCAAUAGCGUUAGCUUGACAGUGUGAUAAUAUCUCUGACGGCCUCCAGCUCGAGCUAACUUGGAAACUCUAGAAAACAUGGAAAAGAAGAGGGGGGUAAGCUUUCGCUUAGUAAGUUCAUAUGAAAAUAAUAAGCACUCAUUAACUUGUUUUAUCAAUGUUUACAACAUAUUCUCAAGUUCACUACAAGCUGUCUUUCUGACCAAUGGUCACUAAAUUAUUUAUAUAUGGAGAUACGAAACUCCGAAUUAAGUUCCGUUAAUUUUCCCUGAAACUAGACUUAUUUUAAUUUCUUCCAUAAAAUUUUCAGAAUUUUUGGUUAAGCCAAAUAGUACAGUUUAUUUCUCAAAGUUACCCCUAAUUCACUGUCUGACAGUUCCGACCCUUUUGUACUAAGGUUCAAUUAUCUCAUAGUACAAGACUUGAAUAAUAUUCUCGUCUAUUUCUAUUGAAACUAGACUCAUAUGUAUACUUACUAAUUUUUUUCUAGAAUUUUUGGUCAAGCCAUUUAGUACAGUUUAUUAGUUAAAGUUUCCCCUAUUUCAGGGUAUGACUACUCUGACCCUUGUGCACUACAAACCGAAUUUGUUUUCCUUAAAAAUAUACUCAAUAAGGAAUCCAUGCAUGUAAGUUAUGACUCUUAAUAAUUUUUUUAAAAUUUAUGGUGAAUUUCUAAAGUCAGAACAUGGGAUCUUGAAUUCAUUCAGACCCUGUUUCACAAGAAUUCAAAUAUCACACAAUAUGGAAUUCUUUUUGUUCCCCUAUUUAUUUCAUGUGAAAAUAGACUCAUUAAGCUUUAAUCCCAUAUUUUAUUAUGCCUCUAACUCAUUUUACACUAUUUUUAGUGUAUUUUCAAAGUUACACUACUGCAGUAACUCAAAUCUGUCAAGGCUAAAUUACUCAUUCAUGAUCAUUGUUCACAAAAUUAAUACAACAUCGUUUGUAUAAUAUCACCGAGACAUUCAUAUCACAUUUUCAUUUACCAUCUUACCAUAUUGUUGUUAUGUUGAGUUUUCAACCCAAGGGUUAAGUACAUACCUGUUCAAAGUAUCCAUUUCACAACAUUUAUCAAUACAUCCCUUUCAUCUCGAGUAUUCCUCCAUUUGAGUAGAAUUUUACGUGUUGAACACAUCGGAAUAUAAUUCGGAUACAUGGAAAGUUUGCACAUAAGUGCCACAUAUGUAGCCAAGCUACCAUGUAACCCGCCCAUAAGUGAACUCGGACUCAACUCAACGAGCUCGGGCGUUCGCAUCCAUAAGUGAACUCGGACUCAACUCAACGAGCUCGGAUGCCUAGUUACAUCUCACGAACUCGGACUCAACUCAACGAGUUCGAACGUUCGCAUCCAUAAGUGAACUCGAACUCAACUCAACGAGUUCGGAUGCUCAACCAUCCUAGUGACAUGUCAUUUGUAUCCUAAUCUAUUCCUAAGGUUCAAACGGGAUUUUCCUCGAACACAUAUCCUUGCCAUCUUCCGUAAAAUAACAGAUAAUACACAUAACUUGCAUUUUAUUCGAAAAUAACCACAAAGCAUAUAUUUCAUGAUAAAAAUCAGCAUAUCAUAUAUUUAACAUCAAUAACUUAAAAAUAACAAUUAUGCUACAUUAUUUACACAUGAACUUACCUCGAUACCACAAAGGUGAAAAAAAAAACGUAAUUAUCCCUUAAUCGAUUUCUUUCCGUUCUAGGUCCAAAUCUCGAUUUUCAUCAUCUAAAAUAUCACAUUCAACUUAUUAAAACAAUGUACUGAUCAAAUUAGUCCACUGACACACUUGGGCAAUUUUUACAAUUUUGCCCCUAUAUUUUGCCAAAACUACCAGAUUACCCCUAGGCUCGUAAAAUAAUUUUUAUCACAUUUCUUUACUCUUGAGUCUAGAUGAACCAUUUUCAUAACUGUAGCAACUCAUAAUUUCAACUAUUUCACACAUUUACAACUCAUUUUACAACUUAGCAAUCUAGCCCUUUUUAAGGUGUUUUCAUGCAAUUUCUUUCAAAAAAGUUGUUUAUUAGACAACUAGGACUCAUAAUCUUCCAUAAAAAAUACAGAAAACAACACAUUUACUCUCAUGGAAAAACCCUAGACUCUUCAUCAUUUUGCAAAAUAGACCACUCAUAUGAAAGCUCAUGCUUUAGGGGUUCCAAAAAUGUAAAAAUCAUCAAGCAAAGACAUUAAAAUCACUUACAAGCAAGGGAAAUAUGUUUCUGAAAUUUUCCAGCUUCAAAGCCCUUUCUUUGCUGCAUAUUUCGGUGAAGGAGAAGAGAAAAAUGAUAGCUUUUUCUUUUUGAUUUGUUAAUAAUAAAACUAGUCAAAAUUGGUGACCAAAUUUCACCUAAUUUUGACUUUUCAACAAUUUUGUCUCCCAUGGCCGUCCAUCACACUUUCAAUGGCCUAAUUUCACUUUAAAUACCCCCAAUCUAAGAUACAAGGCAAUUUAACACCUUUAGGUAUUAAAACACAACUUUUACCUUUUACGCGAUUUAGUCCUUUUUCGAAAUUGGACUAGAAAUUGCUAAAAUUAACUUACCAAAAUUUACAUGCACUUAUAAAAUUAUAUUAUAGAACAUAAAAUAAUACUAAAAAAAUUUUCUCUAGCCUCGAAAUAGUGGUCCCGAAACCACUGUUUCGACUAGGCCCAAAAUCGGGCUGUUCCUAAUUUUGACUUUUCAACAAUUUUGUCUCCCAUGGCCGGCCAUCACACUUUCAAUGGCCUAAUUUCACUUUAAAUACCCCAAAUUUAAGAUGCAAGGCAAUUUAACACCUUUAGGUAUUAAAACACAACUUUUACCUUUUACGCGAUUUAGUCCUUUUUCAAAAUUGGACUAGAAAUUGCUAAAAUUAACUUACCAAAAUUUACAUGCACUUAUAAAAUUAUAUUAUAACACAUAAAAUAAUACUAAAAAAAUUUUCUCUAGCAUCAAAAUAGUGGUCCCGAAACCACUAUUUCUACUAGGCCCAAAAUCGGGCUGUUACAGAUUAGGAUAAGGUGUUUCAAUCCUACUAGAAUAUGGCUUUACAAGCCUAUAAAUAGACAUAGUCUAUUCCUCUUGUAUUGAUUCAAUUUUUUGACAUAGUAAAUUUUCUUCUCCUCUGCCCGUGGUUUUUUCCCGAAAGGGUUUCCACGUAAAAUUUGUGUGUUCUUUAUUUUUAUUUUAUUUUAUUUUAUUUUCAAAUUGGUAUCAGAGCUUCCGGGUAAUUCAUCUCGAUCACGGUAAUGGCAUCUUUGAAGUAUGAAAUUCCGCUGUUGGAUCGCAACACUAGAUUUGCGUUGUGGCAAAUUAAGAUGCAAGCAGUUAUUGCACAAAUGGAUCUGGAGGAUGCCCUGCUAGGGAUAGAUAAGAUGCAUCUGCAUUUGUCCAACAAAAUUUUGCAGGAUGUGAUGAAAGAGAAGACUGCCGCUGCAUUAUGGAAGAGGUUAGAACAAAUAUGUAUGUCAAAAACUCUAACAAGCAAGUUGCAUAUGAAGCACGUCUUUAUGCUCAUCGUUUGGAGGAAGGUGCAUCUGUACACGAACACUUAACAGUGUUUAAAGAAAUUCUCUCAAACUUGGAGGCCAUGGUGGUUCAGUAUGAUAAGGAAGAUCUAGGGUUGAUUCUACUUUGUUCGUUGCCCUCGUCUUAUUCAACCUUUAGAGACAUGAUUUUAUAUAGCCGCGAAUCUCUCACAGUUGAUGAGGUUUAUGAUUCUUUAACCUUGUAUGAUAAGAUGAAGUAUCUUGUGGUUAAACCCGACUCUUAGGGAGAGGGUCUCAUUGUUCGUGGGAGACAAGAUCGGAAUGCUGAUGAUGAUCGUGGUAGGAUACAGGAACGAAAUCCUCGUGGUAAAUCUAAAGGUAGAUCGAAGUCUUCAAAUAGAGGUAAAACUUGUAACUUCUGCAAGAAGAAAGGACACAUUAAAUCUGAGUGCUAUAACCUACAAAAUAAGAUUAAAAGGGAGGCUGUGAAUCAAAAGGAAAAAUAACCAGAAAAUUCCGAUGAAGCUGAUGUUGUAGAAGAUUACAGCGAUGAUGAACUUCUAGUUGCUUCUAUCAAUGAUUCUAAAGUAAGCGAGAAAUGGAUACUUGAUUCAGGCUGCACCUUCCACAUGAGUCCCAAUCGAGAUUGGUUUACAACUUACAAAACAAUAUCUGAAUGUGUUGUUUUGAUGGGAAAUAAUGCUUCGUGUAAAAUCGCAGGUGUUGGAAUAGUUAAAGUUAAGAUGUUUGAUGGAGUUGUCAGAACAGUUAUGAGGUACGACAUGUUCCAGAAUUAAAGAGAAAUUAAAUUUCGUUGAGUACUCUUGAUUCAAAAGGGUACAAAUAUACAGCUGAAAGUGGGAUUUUAAAGAUUUCCAAAGGUUCCCUUGUUGUGAUGAAAGGGCAAAGAAAAACUUCCAAGUUAUAUCUUUUGUAGGGUUCUACUAUUACUGGUGAUGCAGCUGUCGCUUCCUCUUCCUUGUCAGAUGAUGAUAUUACUAAAUUUUGGCAUAUGCGCCUAGGGCAUAUGAGUGAGAAUGACAUAGUAGAAUUGAGUAAAAGAAGACUUCUUGAUGGGCAAGGAAUUUGCAAACUAAAUUUCAGUGAGCACUGUGUUUUUGGGAAGUAAAAGAGAGUUCGAUUCACUAGAGGAAUCCAUAACACGAAGGGAAUAUUGGAGUAUAUUCAUUCUGAUCUGUGGGGGCCAUCCAGAGUGCCUUCGAGAGGUGGAGCUAAUUAUAUGCUAACCUUUAUUGAUGAUUUUUCCAGAAAAGUUUGGGCGUUCUUCCUGAAGCAGAAAAUCGAUGUGUUUUCCGCAUUUAAGUCUUGGAAAAUUAUGAUUGAAAAUAGACGGGAAAACAGAUAAAAUACCUCCGCACAGACAAUGGCUUAGAGUUCUGUUCUGAUGAGUUUAAUAGAUUGUGCAAGUCAGAAGAGAUCAUGAGACACUUGACAGUUCGUCAUACUCCACAGCAAAACGGCAUUGCAGAACGAAUGAACGGAACGAUCAUGGAGAAGGUUCGAUGUAUGUUGUCAAAUGCCAACUUAUCGAAGUCAUUUUGGGCAGAAGUAGCCUCUACUGCAUGUUUUUUAAUUAACCGAUCUCCAUCCGUUGCCAUUGAGAAAAAGACUCCACAAGAGGUAUGGUCUGAUAACCCUGCUAAUUAUUCUAAUUUAAAGAUUUUUGGGUGUCCUGCGUAUGCUCAUAUUGAUAAUGGAAAAUUAGAACCGAGAUCCAUUAAAUGCGUUUUUCUUGGUUAUAAAGCUGGUGUAAAAGGGUAUAAGUUAUGGUGUCCUGAAAAUAGAAAAGUUGUGAUUAGCAGAGAUGUUGUUUUUGAUGAAACUGCUAUGCUACCUAAGUUAUCUCUUAAAGAAUCUUCCAAUAAAGAAAAUCAAAAACAGGUGGAGCAUCAGAUUAAUACAGAGUCAACUCCUCAAGCCAGAACAAAAGUUGAGAAUAUAGUUGCUUCUUCACCACAAUACUCUAUCACCAAAAGCAGAACUAGAAGAGAAAUUAAACCUCCAAAGAAGUAUGCCGAGGCUGAUCUAGUUGCUUAUGCUUUAAAUAUUGCUGAAGAUAUAGAUACGAAUCAAGAGCCAUCUAAUUAUUCUGAGGCGGUUAGCUGUGAAGACUCAAAAAAGUGGAUGUUUGCUAUGCAAGAAGAGAUGGAAUCACUCUACAAAAACAGAACAUGGGACCUUGUGAAACUUCCUAAAGGUAAAAAAGUUGUUCGUUGUAAAUAGGUGUUUAAAAGGAAAGAAGAGACUCUAGGAGUUGAAGAACCCAGAUAUAAAGCAAGACUUGUUGCAAAGGGUUACAGUCAAAUUUCAGGAGUGGACUUCACAGAUGUGUUCUCUCCAGUUGUUAAGCAUAGUUCGAUUCGAUCUUUGCUUGGUAUUGUGGCCAUGCAUGAUUUGGAGCUUGAGCAGUUAGAUGUAAAAACUGCAUUUCUGCAUGGAGAACUUGAGGAAGAUAUUUACAUGCAACAACUAGAGGGUUUUAUUGUCUUAGAAAAAGAGGACUAUGUUUGCUUGUUGAAAAAGUCCCUUUACGGUUUGAAACAGUCACCAAGACAGUGGUACAAGAGGUUUGAUUCCUUUAUGACUUCUCAUGAUUUCAAAAGUAGUUUUGACAGUUUUGUUUACUUUAAGAAAAACAGUGAUGGUUCUUUUGUGUAUCUACUUCUUUAUGUUGAUGACAUGUUGAUAGCAGUAAAAGAUAAAGGAGAGAUAAGAAAUGUCAAAACACAACUAAGUAAAGAAUUUGAGAUGAAAGCUUUAGGACCAGCAAAGAAUAUACUUGGAAAGGAGAUUCUCAGAGAUAGAAAAACAAGUAAAUUGUACCUAAGUCAGAAGAGGUACAUUGAGAAAGUUCUUUGCAGGUUCAAUAUGCAGAGUGCUAAGCCUGUUAGUAAUCCUUUAGCAGCCCAUUUCAGACUUUCAUCAGUUUUGUCUCCACAAUCAGAUGAUGAGAUUGAGUACAUGUCACAUGUUCCAUACUCUAGUGCAGUGGGAUCUCUCAUGUAUGCUAUGGUUUGUUCACGUCCAGAUUUAUCAUAUGCAGUCAGUGCAGUUAGCAGAUACAUGGUGAAUCCUAGUAAAGAACAUUAGAAAGCAGUUUAGUGGAUUCUAAGAUACUUACGAUGUACUACUGAUGUUUGCUUACAGUUUGGAAGAACUAAAGAUGGAGUCAUAGGGUAUGUUGAUGCUGAUUUUGCUGGAGACCUUGAUAAAAGAAGAUCUCUCAUAGGUUAUGUCUUUACAAUCGGAGGUUGUGCAAUCAGUUGGAAAGCUACUUUGUAGUCUACAGUCGCUUUGUCUACCACUGAAGCUGAGUACAUGGAGAUUACUGAGGCUUGUAAAGAAGCUAUUUGGUUGAAGGGACUCUUUAGUGAACUCAAUGAAGACCUUCAAAUCAGCACAAUAUUUUGUGACAGUCAGAGUGCCAUCUUUCUUACAAAAGAUCAAAUGUUUCAUGAGAGAACAAAACACAUUGAUGUUCGGUAUCAUUUUGUUCGUGAUAUUAUUGCUCGUGGUGAUAUUGUUGUGAGCAAAAUUAGUACUCAUGAAAAUCCUGCAGAUAUGAUGACUAAGUCACUUCCUAUAACCAAGUUUAAGCAUUGCUUAGACUUGAUUGGUGUUCAUUGUUGAAGUUAAACCCUUAAGGGGUUUUAUGGAAGAGGUGGAGAACUUGUUUAUUGAAAGUUCGCAAUGAAGAACUUGUUCAUUGAGAAUUUGUGUCAAGGUGGAGAUUGUUAGAAUUAAGUGACCUAAAUUCUUAUUUAAAUAAAAUACGAUGGAAAAUAAAAUGAAAGUAAAAUCCAUAUAGAACUAGACUUCUUUUAUUUUAUUUUAGAAUAAGGUUUUUAAACCUUAUUAAACUUCAUCUAUUUUAUAUUGAUUAGGAUAAGGUGUUUCAAUCCUACUAGAAUAUGGCUUUACAAGCCUAUAACUAGACAUAGUCUAUUCCUCUUGUAUUGAUUCAAUUUUUCGACAUAGUGAAUUUUCUUCUCCUCUGCCCGUGGUUUUUUCCCGAAAGAGUUUCCACGUAAAAUUUGUGUGUUCUUUAUUUUUAUUUUAUUUUAUUUUAUUUUUUUCUCAAAACUCAAUAGAUAGAAGAGUAGAGUAAAUCAAAUAUUGAUUAUGGGUGAUUAGCUCGCUUUAGUAAUCCUCAUCAGCUAUCACUUCGGGUUCCUCGUCAAUCAACUAGUCGCUACCCUAGCAGGAUCUUCUGGUCUUCCACUAACAUAACAAGUCAGCAAGAACUACUUAUCUUUUGACCUCACAGUUUAGGUUGGUUUAGGGUAAAGGUGUUCAUGAAUGGAAAGUACCAAUUUGGAUUAAUUCCCACCUUGAUGACUUUUCGGGGUUGCCAAGCCUAGGGUUUGUUUUAUGUUCUUCCUUUUCCAAAUAGUUAAUCCGUUGAGUAACCCUACAAAAUAGUUAAUAGAUCAUACAUCCACUCGCUAAUCCCCCAUAAAGGGAUUAGUUCCUCAUGGCUUUCAUAGACAAUAUGAAAUCAAUAUAAAGAGAAAACAUACUAAUUAAAACGAUAAGAUAAAGUAAAUGAAAGAGUCUGAUUGUAUUGAUGUCAAUUGUGAAUCCCCAAUGUUUGAAUGCUUCAACAAUUUAGAUCUCUUGAAAUCAACAAAAACAACCGAAAAAAAUCUAAAACCUAAAAACGAAAAAAAUUUACACUGAAUUUUACAAAGAGAAUUUAGGCCAAAGGAUUGAUGUCCAUAACAAGUGACAAAUGAGUCUAUUUAUAGCCUUCAGGUGGCUAUCAUCCUUAACCCUGGGUUAGCUGAUGUUCCCGAGCUUGAAUGUUUAAUUGUAUAGACCAAAAUACCCUUACUUCGUGUUUUGAUUUCAUCACAGAGUCGAUGUCGUGACAUACUAGGAACUGUAUCGCGACCUAGCAACCAAUAUACUCCUCUGUAGCUAUCUUCAGUCUGUGCCUCGACACCUUUAGUCUGUGUCGUAUUGAUGGUAGUCUUGAAAUUUCUUCAUUUUGCUUAUUAUGUUGCAACAUCAAGCAUCGCAUGUUGUAACAUAGCGGCCAAUAUUAGUUUAGUACACCUUCUAAAGGUCUUCUGCACACUCACCAAGUGCGUUAGCUAUCCCUUAGGCCUUAUUCUACCCAUAAGGUUAAUAAAAGACUCAAUUUGCACAUUUUAUUAAAAGUAAAUAAAACUUAACUAAAACGUAACGAAAAUGCUUGUAUUCAAACUCUUCAAAUACGAAAACUAGUUUGAUCUGCUACACCGAAUUAUGAUAGAUCAGUUAUGCAUGCAAAAUAUAAAAGACAUAAAAUGAAAUUAACUUCAUUUAUUUAUUCAUCAUUCAAUCAAUAGAAAACAAUUAUAUGUUCACCACAAUGUGGGCGCAUUUCCCAGCACUCUACUAGUAAGGACGUCAAGACAUUCACGUCGUCGAGAAGAGCUUUCGUUUCUCAUCGGGACAAGACUAACUGUUUGGGCCUAAUAGAAGCAUUCUCCACAUAUUUGAUGAAACAAUUUAAAUUUAAAUUUAUUUUAUUGUGGUUUUUGGGACUAUAAUUUUUUAAUUUUGGGUUAUGGCAUGGGUUCUUUUUAAGUUCGGAUUUUUGCAUGCAUUCAAUUUCAUUAAACUGAACAAGCCAAAUUAAUCUUCUUAUAGAAUAUGGUUUAAAGUAAUAACUGAUGGUUUCACUUUUUUCGCUGCAAAACAAGAGUUUUGAAAGUAAAAUGACAAAACAAAAAUCAAC